RNAcentral lists this long non-coding RNA (84226 nucleotides) under Malus domestica (apple). Lineage: Eukaryota; Viridiplantae; Streptophyta; Magnoliopsida; Rosales; Rosaceae. The record is from RNAcentral.
GAGAUAAAACUCAUCCUCCUAAACGUAGCAGUCUUGCACUGAUCAUCCUGGAAUGAGCUAUAUAUUAAUUUUCAGUGAUUUCACAACCAUUUAACAAUAACUUGUUAUUACCCAUUAAACUUUUAAACUAGUGAUGUUCUAGACAAAGUUGGGUUACUAUUAUUGGUGGCUAAUUUCAGUAAAGGGUUUUAGCCUCAUUCCACUAGAUGUACUAACUACCAAAGCUCUUGAAAGUGCUUUCGUUAACGGAUCCGCCAAGUUAUUACUUGAUUUAACAUAAACAAUAUUAAUAACUCCAUCAAUUAUUAAUUGCUUGACAUAUUCAUGUCUCAAGCUAAUAUGUCUAGACUUUCCAUUGUAUACCUUAUUGUAUGCUCUAGACAAAGUAGCCUCACUAUCACAGUAUAAAGAAAUGGAUGGCAUUGGUUGUGGCCACAACUCUAUUUCCAAUAACAAAUUUCUAAUUCAUUCCGCUUCUUUACCUGCUGCCGCUAAUGCUAUAAAUUCAGAUUCCAUAGUUGAAUGUGCUAUACAUGUUUGCUUCUUCGAAGCCCAAGAAAUUGCUCAUCCGUCAAUUGUAAAAAUCCACCCUGAUGUGGACUUAUUAUCAUUAGCACUUGUUAUCCAAUUUGCAUCUGAAUAUCAUUCAAGUACUGCUGGAAACUCAUAAUAAGUUAAACUCAUAUUAAUAGUUCUUUUAAGAUAACCAAAAAUUUUAUUUAUUGCUUUCCAAUGAGCAGUACACGGAUGAAUAGUGUAUCUAUAAAGUUUGCAUACUGCAAAUGCAAUAUUUGGCCUGGUACAAUGCAUGGCAUAUAUUAAACUUCCGAUUACACUAGCAUACUCAAGCUGUGCAACAGACCUACCAGAAUUAUUAAGCAAAGUUUCACUAGGGUCAUAAGGGGUAGUUGAUUCUUUGAUUUGUAGAUGCUUAAACUUAAGAAGCAAUUCUUCUAUAUAAUGUGACUGACACAAAUCGUAACCCCUACUAUGCUUAUUUACUUUAAUUCCCAAUAUAGUAUCUACUUCAUUCAAAUCCUUCAUCUUGAAUUUUGAAUUUAGAUACUCUUUAGUUUCAAAUACACCUUUGAUGUUUGUACAAAAAAUUAGCAAGUCGUCGACAUAUAAACAUAUAACAACACCAUAAUCAUUUGUGAAUUUAGAGUAUAUGCAUUUAUCAGCACUAUUAUGUCUAAAUCCAUAUGAUAAAAUGACAAAUCAAACUUUUCAUGUCAUUAUUUUGUUGCUUGCUUCAAUCCAUAUAACGACUUUACUAAUUUACAAACCUUCUUUUCAUUCCCAGAGAGAACAAACCCUUCCGGUUAUUCCAUAUAGACUUUUUCAUCUAAAUCACCAUUUAAAAAUGCAGUUUUCACAUCCAUUUGAUGCACAUGCAAAUUAUAGAAAGAUGCCAAUGCAAACACUAUUCUAAUUGAUGUUAGCCUAGCUACUGGUGCAUAUGUAUCGAAAUAGUCUAUUCCUUUUUUCUGCUUAAAACCCUUGGCAACCAGUCUGGCUUUAAAUGUCUGAAUAAACCCGUCUGUAUUGUAUUUUCUUCUAAAUACCCACUUACAACCUAUUGCUUUUGAUCAUUGGGGCAAGUCUACUAAAACUCAUGUCUGAUUAAAUAUUAAUGAUUCAAAUUCAUCAUCUAUAGCCUAUUUCCAAAAAGCUGCAUUUCUUGAAGUCAUUGCUUCGCUUAGACUUUUAGGAUCAUCUUCAACAUUCAACAAUAUGGGUAUUUUUUUAAGAAUCUUUGUUCUAUUUCCUUCAACUAAAAAUACAAUAGAUUGAGAUGAAAUAAAAUCAGGGCCUAUAAUCUUUUCUUUUCUUACUAUUUGGCUUUUCCUUGGUUCAUUAAUAGUUUCAGACUGUUUUCUUUUCUCACAUUGAGAAUGACUACUAGCCGGAUUAGAGAAAAGUGUUUGAUCAUUCUCUUUUCCAGACAUUGAGUAGUCGUUAUAGAAUUUAUUUUCUAUAAAUUCGACAUCUCUAGACUCAACUAUUGUAUUUGAGUCUAAAUCAAGCAACCUAUAUGCCUUUGAAUUUUCUGCAUAUUCUACAAAUAUGCUUUUAAUUCCUCUUGGACCCAACUUGGAUCUCUUAGGAUCGAGUGCCUUAUAAAAAGCUACACAACCCCAUACUCUCAAAUAUGACAAAUUUGGUUUUCUUCAUUUCCAAAUUUCAUAUGGUGACACAUGUGUCUUUGUAGAUGUAAUUCUAUUGUGUAUAUGACAUGCAGUAAACAAUAUUUCACCCCAUAAAUAUUUUGGAGUAUUAGCAUUAAUCAUCAUAGAAUUAAUCAUUUCACUGAGUGUCCUAAUUUUUCUUUCUCAUUUCAGUGAGUGUCCUAUUUUUUCUUUCUACCAAACCAUUUUGUUGUGGUGUAUAAGGUGCAGUUCUUUGAUGUAUAAUAUCAUGCUCUUCACAAAAAAUAUCAAAUUCAUUUGAAAAAUAUUCACCACCUCUAUCACUACGAAGGCAUUUAAUUUUCCUUCCUUUUUGGUUUUCAACUUCAGCUUUAUAGUGCUUAAAACACUCAAAAGUUUCAUCUUUAUUACACAAUAAAUAAACAUAAGUGAACUUAGAAUAAUCAUCUAUAAAUGUGAUAAAAUAUCGUUUUCCUCCUCUUGUUAAAACACCAUUGAAUUCACAUAUGUCAGAAUGUAUUAAGUCUAAUAAAUUUGUAUUUCUUUCGGCAGUUGGAAAAUGUUUCUUAGUCAUUUUCGCUUAAAUACAUGUUUCACAUUUAUCAUUAUAAUCAUCAUUGCAAGCAAUUAAACCAAGUGUGCGCAUGUAUUUUAAAGAUCUAAAAUUUAUAUGUGCUAAACGUAAAUGCUAUAAAUGAGAGGAAUAUUCAACAAUAUAAGCAGAAGAAUUCCCUUUAUUAUUAAUACUUAGUUUGAACAUCCCAUCACAAAAAUACUCAUUCCCAACAAACAUCCCAUUUUGCGACAUUAUUAACUUGUCGGUCUCUAUAACAGUCUUUAUACCGUUCUUACAUAAUAAAUUUGCAGACACAAGAUUCUUUCUAAUUUCUGGAACAUGUAGUAUAUUAAGCAACGUCAAUUUCUUCCUAUAAGUAAAUUGAAGUUCAACGGUUCAUUUUCCUAAAACUUUGACGAAAUUAUGAUUCUCCAUUAAAACUUAUUGAUUGUCCGUUGAUGCUUCAUAUGUCUUGAAUUGUGCCUUGUCAUUGCACACAUGUAUAGUAGCCCCUAAGUCGAGCCACCAAUCAGAGGAUUUUAUUGCUGCUACCAUAUUCAGUUCGGUAAUCAUACCAAUAUGCAUCAUUGAUACCAUUGCAACAAUGUUAUCAAUUUCAGAGUUUUCCACCAUAUUUGCGCUAUUGGACUUAUUGGCAUAUUCCUCACUUGCUUUCCUGUGUCUACAAUCACGAAUGUAAUGACCUUUCUUUCCACAAUGGUAGCAUACAUCAUUUGCAUUCUUUUGAUUGUUGUUGGAAUUGGUCUUUUUAAACUUCCCUUUGUCAAUUUUGACUUUGAAGUUCUUUUUAUAUUUGUUUCCUUCGACAAUGUGAACUUUAGAGAAAUCUUGAUUUGUAAAAUUCUUAUCACGAUUUCGAGUUUCCUCUUCAAUUUGAAUGCCCUUUUGCAAAUUCUCCAAAGUAAUAUCUUCCACAAUGUGUAGAAGUUUCUUUCUAUAGUUAUUCCAUGUUUAGGAUAAUUUUGCCAUAAUAGCCCCAACUAUCAUAUGAUCCGAAAUAACUAUUUUAAGUUCACGAAACUUUGAGACCAAUACCAAUAAUUCAUGAACUUGAUCUAGGAUGGGUUUGUUAUCAAACAUAGUGAAUUAAUAAUAUUUGAAUAUUAAAAAUUUAUCAAUACUUUUUUUUUCCGUUGUGUACUUGUGUUCAAGUGCUUCCUAAAUUUCCUCUGGAAAUUGAAUAUGUGCAUACAAGUCAUAUAAACGAUCAGAUAAUGUGCCCAAGAUGUGUCCUCGACAUACCAAUUCAUCUUCUUCAUGCUUCUUUCUAUCGGCAACUAUAUUGUCCGAGUCUUUGUCACUUGGUUCACAAAUAGGCUCCAAUUUCGGGUCCAACACAUAUAUGACAUUUAGAACAGUAAGCAUGAAACGCAUCUUGUCCUUCCAUCGGGUGAAAUUUGAUCCAUCAAAUUUGUCAAACUUGUAGACAUCUUGAUUGAUAAUCUUCAAAUCUAUGUUAUCAGAUUUGUUAUCCAUGACGAAAAUAACACUUUAAGAUUGGUAGAGUAAAUAUAGAAAUAUAGAGAAUAAUCCGAAUGAUGACUUUGGGGUACGACUUGAAUCGUUUCCUUAAAGUGUUAUUUGCCUCCACUCGAAUGAGUUUGCUAAAGAGUUCUUGGCAAAUCACUUUCAGGAUAUAACAAAGCAUGGAAUAUUCGAUUAGCAAAACCGAAUUGUAUUCUCUUAUAAAUAACUAGAAAGAAAUUGUAUGAAUAUGAUGAGGAGAGAAAGGAGAGCAAAGAAAUUAUGUAGACAAUAAAUUUCUGAAAUUGUGUAUGAAAAUUAUGCCACGAUAGGUAUUUAUAGGCAUUAAGGCACAUGUUCAUCAAGUCCUUUCAUUUUAAUUGAAGAUAUACAACUCUUCUUAAAAGUGUUGAUCUAAAAGACAUGUAUUCUAUUUAAAAUUUUCAGAAAAUAAAUAUUGACUAAUUAUAUCUUUUAAUUUUACUCAUACAAUUUGAGUAAGCAUCAUAUAUUUUAACCAAAAAUUGUAACCAUUCAACAAGAUGUACAAAGGUUGAAAUCCAACAUUUCUGCCUGUAGGCUUGCUGUGCAUCGCAGCUGCCUUUCCCUAUUAUACAUACAGAUAUGCUGCACAAUACAGCACCAAGUCUAAUAUAUAUAUAUAUAUAUAUAUAUAUUUUAUUAUUGAAAUCUUUAACAAACCAUUGGCUCGUCUGUGUAGCAUGGUCAAUCAGGUCUCUAGAUUAUAAAAUAAAAAAUAAAAUAGGAUACUUGAGAGUGAACUGCAUUUUACAUAGGUUUAUUUUAACUAUAAAAACACCUAAUAGACUUUAUGGCAAAUAGACUUCAAACUUAUUUGCGAUAAAAUGCAUUUUACGUAGGUUUAUUUUAAAGAAUUUUAACGAAAAACUUUCGGUAUUGUUUAUUUUAAGGAAAAAUCAUAUUUUUACACUAAAAAGUCAAUUCUUGUACUAUUCAUUUUACCUUUUAUUUUGUCCUUAUCGUUAAAACUCAAAGUUUUCAAGCUAUAUUUAUUAGUUUUCCUUUUAUUUUAACUAUAAAAACACCUAAUAGACUUUAUGGAAAAUAGAUUUCAAACUUAUUUGCAAUAAAAUCUAUUAGGUGUUUCUAUAUAUAAAAAAAAAAGUUUGUGAUGUCAUUUUUAUUAAUUUUCUAUCUUUCAUAAUUUAUUCAAUGCAAAUAUUUAAAAAUCACUUCUCAUAGUGAAAUCGGACGAUGAAAAAUUCAUCAUCGAUUCUCCACACAACAAAAAAAAAAAAGAUGAAUUUUACAUAUUUAAGAUGAAGAGCACUUUAAUUCGUAGUUAUAUAUUCAAAAGGCAUAUGGAAAGGUGGUUUUCUUUGCUAUAUUGGUGGAAAAGUAAAGAAUAAAGAAGAAGAAAAAUAGUCCACAAUAUCUUGAUGAAGUGUUUUAGUAUUGUCGCCUGAUGUUACAGUUUGAUUGUGAAUGUAAUAUUCGACAAAGCUAUAGGAGAUGAGUUUUAUUGCUGAUACAUUGCCCAACCUGAGUCUCUCUAACAAGCUCAAUAUUUUUAUAAGCAAUUAUCAUUAUCUAAUAUUUAUGAAGUCCCUAAACCUCUUGACAUUAUUUUGUAGUUUCUCUUUGCACCUUUGUUUAACAAAAAAAAUAAACUGUGUACACUAUCAGUUGGAUAUUCGGGAGUCAAAAACUCGUUUAAUUUUAUAAAAGCAUUUUGAAUUAUUUGAUUUAUUAGAUCUUGAAUUUUAAUGAAUUAUGUGAUUUAUUAGUUUCACCUCAUUCUGUCGCAUCUCCUCAGAGAAACUCUGCUCCACCUGUAAACUUAGCGGAGAAAUGACAGAACCUCUAGUUUCGGGCAUAAAUCCUAACAAACUUAGACCACAGGGGUUUAAAUCCGAAUUUUUUUUACCACAUGGACUAUCUUCCGAAUACCUUAUGACCACAGAGACUAUUUAUCCGAUUUUACCAACCUAAACCUAAUGAAGGAAUGACAAAAGGGCAUAAAUCCUAACAGACUUAGACCACAGGGGUUUAAAUCCUAACAUACUGUGACCACAGGGGUUUAAAUCCGAAUUUUUUUACCACAGAGGCUAUCAUCCGAAUACUUUAUGAUCACAGGAACCAUUUAUCCGAUUAGGCUACCUACAAUUUGCAUCAAGAUUUCAAUCAAGUCCCUUCAAUUGAUGGCAGCGGCGCAAGUAAUAAUAUAAAAUGUAGAAUUUGCAGCCAUUGUACUUGUGCAGGUUAAUUAACCAACUUGUUCUCUAGGUAAUAAAUGGGGAAGGAGAUAUUACGAAAAGAACAAGACUUGAAAAGUGUUUGUAGCUGAAUAAGCACUCAUGUAGUUUCAAAAUGAUUAAAAACGUUUGUGGUAAAAAUAUUUUUUAUACUAAUUCUUAGUAAAAAAGUUCAAGUGGAUUUUAUGAAAACACUUUGAAGUAUUUUUUUUUGCAAGAAGCACAUAUUUAGUGUUUCUAAAACACUUAAAUUACUUUUAGAAUUCAAAAUUAAUUUUAUCAAUAUCAUUUUCAAUUAUUUUAAAAAUACUACAAAACGAGCUCUUAGUUAGCAAUCACCCUUAUAUUUGAGGACUCAUGUUUUGUGAUUGAAUACCUCAUCCCUCAAAAUUGCAUGUAUAAAAAAAAGAUAUAAAAAAUAAUAAUACAUUAGUUAGGUCCAUAUAAUCGUCAUUAAAAAAUUUCACCUUUUACAAGAAUAUUUUUCUUUCUAAUUAUAAAACGUUUGGAGUGCACAAUUAAAUUUUGAAGUGUCGAUAACAAUUUUUUUAUAUAUAAUAUGUUAGAGAAAAUUGUAGCAAUAGUCCUUUAAUUUUAACCCAAUUAGAGCAAUAGUCCCUCAAUUAAAAAUCCACAGUCAUUGAUUCCUUAACUCAUCAAAACGUGCAGCUACGGUCAUUUUCGUUAAUUCAGUCAAAAUGAGUCAUGUUGGAAUGACCAUUACUAUAAUUGGGUUAAAGUUAAGAGACCAUUGCUCUAAUUGAGUUAAAGUUGAUGGACUAUUUCUCCAAUUAGGUUAAAGUUGAGAGACCAUUACUGCAAUUUUUCUCAUUUGAUUUUCCAUAUUAACCUCAUGAUUCAACUUCAUAUGCAUGAUAUAUGACUCAUUUUGACGAAAGUUAUAACAAAGUUGAUGAAAAGAACUAUAACUGCAUGUUUUGAUGAGUUAAGGAACCAAUAGUCAUGAAUUUUUAGUUGAUGAACCUUUAAUCUAAUUGAGUUAAAAUUAAAAGAUAGUUUCUACAAUUUUUCUCAUCACGUUAUAAUAGAAUAGGUAAAUUCCUUAAAACAACAAAAAAUCCCAUUUCAAAAGAGUACAUGAUGGCCCAGCCCAUAACUAGUAAGGAAUCGGUAGGCCGAGACUGAGUAAAUGGGCCAUAAAACCCAUAAAACGGAGGAAGCGAGAAAGCGAAGGAAAGGCAUCGAAUGGCUGAAACAAGAAGAACAAACAAGCGGAAAAUGGCAGACCGGAGAGGAGAAGCAGAUUCCGAGAAGACAUCCAAUUGGCCGUCCAUUAAACCAAAGAAAAAUCUUCAGCUAACUCCUCUCAAAGAUAACAAUCUUUUUACUGUAAGAAUCCCAUUCCAUUUUUAUUUCAAAAAUCUUGCAUCUUUUUUAUGAAAAAUUCAAUUUUUUUUACACAUGGGUUCUUCUCAGAUGCAUGAACAGUAAUUUGGGUUUAAUUUAUUAUUUGAGUAAAUAUUAAAAUUGGGAUCAAAAUUUGAUCUUGGUGAAGAUUAUGGUGUAAUGGCGGUCUGUUAAUAGUUAAUUGAGUGAGUUAAGGUAUUUUCAGGUGCAGAAUUUCCUGACUUCUGCAGAAUCAAAUGCUUUCGUUAAAGCUGCAGAGUCUAUGGGGUUUGUUCACCAGGGGAGUCUUGGCCCGACGAAAGGCGAAGCGUACAGAGACAAUGAUAGAAUCUCUGUGAAUGAUCCUGUUCUUGCAGAUACAAUAUGGGAGUCUGGUCUUAACAAAUUGUUUUCUGACAUUAAAAUUCGAGGGAGGACCGCUGUUGGAUUAAACCCGAUAUCAGAUUCUAUAGGUUGGUGAAGUUCAUUUUGUUAAUGUUGUUUAACAAGUUCGAAAACUUUUUGUAAUUGUGAAGUGUGAACUGAUCCCCAUUUAUAGAAAACUCUACUUUUUGAUCCUACAAAUUGGGUACAUUUGAUUGGAUUGUUGCAAAGAAUUAUCUGAUUCGAUUUGUUAAAGAACGCCGCUGUCACUUGUUCGCAUAGAAAUGCUUCUCUAUUUUACAAAAGAAUGUGCUGUUUUUUGUUGUCCUGUGCACCUGGAAACUUAAUUUUCGGUUGCAAUGUGUUUUCAGGUACAAGGCCGGUCAGCGCUUUGGAAGGCAUAUUGAUGAAAGUAAUGAUCUUGGUGACGGAAAACGCACACAUUAUACGUUGCUAAUAUACUUAAGUGGUGGCGGUUUCAAACCAAAAGCUAAAAGUGAUACGAGCAGUCUUAAGGAUUCUUCCUCAGAGCCUCUGGUUGGAGGAGAAACAGUUUUCUAUGGUUCAAGGAAUAGUGUUGUGGCAGAGGUGAGUUAUGUUUUCGUCAUAUACCGUAUUGCUUUUAUUGUCUACUAUUCACUUUAGUUUUUAUGUUCAACUUGAUGUAAAAUCUUGUUUGUUUCUUGAAUGUUUUUAUGGAAUAUGCAUUGACUGUCAAUCCAUGAAAUUCUGUAGGUGCCUCCCACCGAAGGAAUGGCUCUUCUGCACAUUCAUGGGGACAAAUGCUUGCUGCAUGAAGCCCGAAAUGUUACAAAGGGUAUCAAGUAUGUAUUUCGUUCGGAUGUAGUAUUUGCUUGAUGUUUGGUUACUUGUAUAAGCUGAAAACCUUCUUAAGGUUACUCAACCAAAAACAUAUAGUAACGGAAAUGUGUAUUAUCUUCGUGACACCACUUCAUUUUUCAUCUGAAUUUCUUUGUUCUUAAGAUAUUACUUGGAGUAGACACUUGAUACAUAUCAUAAUCUAGUGGCAAAAAGGAAAAAAAUGUAAAUAAAGGAUCAGGAUACCAUUUUUUUCCUUAACUGAGUACGUUUUUUACUAUAGAAGAAACAUUAUUGCUGGUUUCUUACUACAUUAAGAGAUGAUAGAACCAGAGCAUCAUACUUCUAGAUUUCUGUGGGCAACAUAGGCACAGUUUUCUUUGCUAUUCUUAUUUUAGUGAGGUAGGAAAGAACUUCUCUCGCCUGGUGAUAUAUGCAUCCGAUGGGUUGAUGAUCUCUUUGUUUUCUGAGUCGGAUUGGUAAAGAAUACAGAUGGAAGCACACUACAUCUUCAUUUCUCCAUAUAAUAGAACCUGAGUUAUGUGUGGUCCGUUGACCUCCACACACAACUAUUUCUUCUCUUUAACAUCUGUGAGGGAAAGUACACAUGAUUCCACUUUAACAUCAGGCAUAUCAAUCCUAACAUUGUAGGUUGUCUUGGGUUUGCCGACGUUUGCAAGUCAUGAAAUUUUCCCUUCACCUUAUGACCAUCUUCUAUAGCUUGAGCAAAAGAGGGAUACUUGAGGUCCAUGCCUUACCGGGUUUUGUGGUCCUGCAAACACUUUUUUCACCCGGAAUUUUUCUUACUGUGGUUGUGUUGUAGCUUUGCUUGCACAGAAGGUCGAUGUAAUCUUUUCUCAGAUGCAUCAAAAACUCACUCAGGAAUACUGCCUUGGUUGGGUUGAGAAGACCCAAUCCGUUAGCAAAUUCUCUUUCAUUUUCGUGCUUUUUCAGGUCCACGGCAUAUGCUUUAUUGAGAAAACAUAGUGGUUUGUAAAGAAGUUUUGGAAGUUACAGAGUAGAUUGUUUGACAUACCUGUGGUCUGCAGAGCGAAUAUAAUUGCUGUAAGAGACCACCGUGGGUGAGCAGCCUUCACGGUGCAUGGCUGCUGCUCCGGUUACCUGUGGGCAAGACAUUGAGAUUCCAGAGUCCGCAGCAUGGUAUUUGACAGUCCUUGUGUCCUUGGUGUAAACCGAAGAUCUUGGAACGGCUGAGCAGGGCCGAAAGGAUGUUAACAAUCGGCACAAUGAGAUCAAGCUGUUAAUUUUAUUCCACAGCUCAAAAUUGUGAGGGUAGAUACUAUGAGAAUUCCUUCUGGACUGAUGAGUGUUGUUGAAAGGGAAGAGAGAAGGCAGGAUCGUCAACAGAUCAAAAAGGUAUUACGACACUGACUCUGUCUUUCGUGACAAUGCCAACCCGCCGUUUGAUCGGAAAAUAAAUUGACUUAACAAUACGAAAAAACGGUAUGAUUAAACACGGCUGUGCAAGGGAAGGAAAAAAAUGUUGACUUGUUAACUUGUGUGCAGAAACCAACUGUAUAAGGAAAAUAAAUUUUAUUCUCAAGACAAGAUCAAAUUUACAUCGGAAAUUUAAAUCGGGAACAAAUUGUAAACAACAAAAAUAAAAAUCUUUGAUCAAGGACUCUCUUGCGAUUAGAUGAUUCUGAUCAAUUCACCACACGGCAAUUAAGUCUCACUUCACCACCAUCCUCAAUCACCCCAACAUUUCCAAGAUUUACCAUUGAAGCUGCAAACUCCUUGAAGAACACACUUUGAUCCUUGGCAAACGACUCAACAAUCCAUCCAGUCCUGUAAUCGCUAAACAACGCUUGAUCCGAUCCAAACACGCCCUUACCUGCCACCAAUUGCUUGUAGUAAUUGUUAUCAAAAGUUGAGGAAGUUGAGUCCAACAACUCUCCGGCAGUGAUAUCCCUGUUUGGCUUAGAGCAUUUGGUUCUUAGCUUCUGAGCAAAUUCUUUGUUCAUGGUUGGGUCCACGUCGUGCACUGAACUAAAAUUCCGAAGCCGGGAUUCAAAUGAAGAACAAUGUGAGAACCCUAGAGUGUGGCCGCCAGAUAGAGCAACCAAAUCUUUAACACCUAAACCUCUCUUAGCAAAGCUUUGAAUCAAUUGGGACAUGUUGAAAGUUGGAGCUGGUAAGUUGAUGGUCUCAUUAGCUCUCGACACCCUUCCGUCUUUCCUCCCCUUUAGCACAUUCCAAAACGGACCUCCGGACUGACAAAAAUGAGCGUACGUACAUCAGUUUCUUAUACAUUAAGCAUUUGUAUGGCAACGUGGGAACUUAAGUGCAUACAUACCAUGAUCACUACAUCUCUUGCAGCAAUGCCGACGAUAUCAGCACAAGAAACAGUGUGUGGACAUGCGGCUUCUAGCUUGGCUUUGGCAUCGUCAAUCACGUAGAAUGAUCGGACUGAGAUAUUGGGAGGGCCGUCUUUCUCUGCUUGGUUUCCUGCGGUGGAGUCUAGCAGCAACGACGCAUCGCAUCCCUAACCAAUAAGAAACAUAAAUUAAUUCUACAAAAAAUUUAUACGAUAUAUAGACAAGCUUCUUAGCAGGGAUCCCGCUCUACUGUUCAUGGAGGAGAAUAACAUAGUGCAAUAAUAUUGUAUGUAUAAUGUCCAAGUAAUGAUCAAGGUCUAAAAUAUCAAUAUUAUCCCGAUAUUUUCAUCAAAAUUUCCGUGUUUUUGAACUACCGAUAUUUCCGAUAUCAUCGAUAUUUUAGACCUUGAUAGGAACUCUAUAUGGUACUAAGUCACUCAUGUAUCUUACCAUGCAAUGUAUGAAGUGUAAAAUAUUGUACUAAUUCAUUAUAUAUAAAUGAUUAUUGUGUGUUUAAACUUCUUUCAUUAAUUACUACAUAUUUUCUACUCUCACAAUGUUUGCCAGCUCGCUAUAUAAUCAACUUAAAUCAGUUAAAUCCAUCAUGCAAUGCAUUUCCUUCCAAUUUUUUUUGUGAUAAACUAAUAAAUAAUUAACUAAAUAGACAUUCUGCAAAGUUUCAAUAAAAAUUUCCAAGUUUUUCUUACAAUUUCCGUGGGUUUUAUUCAAUUUUUAUCGAUAUCGAUAAUAUCCCGAUAUUUCCAUUGAAAUUUUCGUAUUUUUGGACUACCGAUAUCUCCGAUAUCAUCGAUAUUUUAUACCUUGGUAAUGACCACAUAGCUCUACAGGAUCAGGGAUGUUAUGUAGGCAAUAUAGGGGAUAGUUUAAGUGAGAGAGAGAGAGAGAGAGAGAGAGAGAGAGAGAGAGAGAGAGAGAGAGAGAGAGAGACUGUACCCUUAUGAAACAAUCAUGGAAGAACAUCCUUAAGAUGCGAGCUGGGACUUUAGGGUCAUGCAUGGAAGCAUUAUACACCGCUUGUAAUAUAAUUUUCUCAGCUUGUGGACACGUUUGAUCAUAGUACUGAGCACUGAGCGCCGCUUUUGACUGUGAAAACCUAGUUGAAAGCAGUAACAGUAAUGCAUGGAGGAAGAAGAAGAACAUUGUUUUUGGUGCAAACACAGCCAUUUUCUCUGGGACAAAUGAGGUAGGAAUUAGGGUUUAGAUAUUUUGAAGGUGCUGAUAUAAAUUUUAUAUAUAGGAUCAUUAUAUAUAUACAUUUUCAGCAUUUCAUGUAUAUAUGUUAUAUGGAUGUUGAUCGUACUUUUAAGUUACUCAAUAGAGAAACAGCCUCCAUUGUAAUAUAGCUAGCGAACGUGAAGUACUAGAACUUUGACCCCGCUUUUGGUCAUGUACUAUUGUACUGUGCUUUGAAACCAAGCAUAUCCACCUAAGCUGUUGUUCUUGGUCCUUGGAGGACCAACGUUUUGUUGAAUGGAUUAAACUUAAAGAUCAUUCUAAAAGAAGCAAAUUUCAUAUUUGAAUAUUGUUGAAGUAUGAUCAGGUUAUUGUUGGCUUAUAUCUAUCAGGUUGGUUGUGCUUGCGGUUGGUGAGAAAGUGGGAAUAAUGUACAACAAUUUCGUAGUACUACUGCAAAUAAGAUAUGAAAGAGGGUGAAGUUACCUCAAAUUUAUUUGUUCAUGUUGAACAAAAAUUCAUAGUUGUAGCCAUCCAGCUAUCCAGACAAGCUGGAUGGCUGCUCAUUUGAACCACUAGCCUUAGGCUAUCUUCAACCAAAGGCUGGUCAGAAAGCUCGUUUUAGCCCUCUGGCCUUCCAAGAAAUUAAUAUUUUAAUGAACAGUAAAUGGCCGUAUUUGUCUCCAUCUCCAACCGAGGGCCAAAGGACCAUAGAGCUCGUUUUAGCCCUGUCACAAAAAACCGUCUUCAACUGAAGACCAAAGGGCCAUAGGGCCAAACAUAAUUUAUUAUUUUAAUUUAAUGUUGUUUCAUGUUACUUAAUUUAAUUUAAUAUUGUAUAAUGGCUUAGGAAGUAAAAAAAAAUAUGAAACAAAUUUUGUAAAAUAAAAGUUAUAGGAAAAAAAUAGAAUUAAAAAAAAUAUAUGAAACAAAUUUUGUAAAAUAGAAGUUAUAGGAAGUUAUAGGAAGUUAUUGAAAAAAAAACAUAGAAUUAAAAAAAAAAGUUAUAGGAAAAAAAAAUUGUAAAUAAAAAAAAUAACGGCUAGCUGACGUCAGCUAGCCGUUGCAUUUGAAAAUUUGGCCUAGCAUUCAUGUCAGUUAUAUCUAAUUGGAAUGCUCACAUUUCUAGCCAGCUCGGGGAAGGGCUGGUUGGAUUGGGUUAGCCCUUUGGCCCUUUUAGAUUCCGUGGGGCUCACGAGCCCUUUGACCUAGCCCUCAGUUGGAGACGAUUUUCGAGCGUUUUUCGGCCCUUUGACCUUCUGGACCCUUCGGUUGAAGAUGACCUUAUAUUUUAGUCUGACUCGCCUUUAUUAGUCAUAUGAUCACAUCUCCUUAGGUUUUGUACUUUAUAUAUAUAUAUAUAUAUAUAUAUAUAUAUAUAUAUAUAUAUAUAUAUAUAUAUAUAUAUGAAUGUCUAAAAACAAUAAUCUACCAAGACAAAAACAUAAGUGACCAAACCACAUGCUAUUCGGACUCUUAAAAAAUUGUAUUAUCUAUUUUGAUAAUUUUAUUGGAACUCGAUCUGGAUAGAUUUUGGCAUAUAGCUGUUAAUUUGUCUCAUUUUUCUAUUUCACUUUUCACGUUAUUUGAUUAAAAUUCUCUUCUUUUUAAAUUGUUUUCUUACCAAUUAAUCCUUGUGUGAUUGUUAAAAAUUAAGGUAAUUUAAAAUAGACUUUUUAGCCAAAAUGAUAUUAAAAUUGCGAGAUUGACGUGUUUUUUAAGUUUGUUCACUAUCAAUUAUUUUGAUCAUUUAAUGAAAAAUCUCCAUUAUAUAAGAAUAAAAUGACAAAAAUACUCUUAAAUUUUGUCAAAUCAUUUUGACUAAUUGUAUUUUAAAGUAAGGGUAUUUUUAUCAUUUUGAUUCUUAUUUAAUAGAUUUUUUCACAGAAAGACUAAAAUGAUUGAUUAUGAACAAUUAAUUUAAAUGUUAAAAAUUAAAAUGAUGAGUUAUCCCAAUAUCAUAAACCAUUUUGACAAAAGCCUUCAAAAUAUUAAGGAAAAUCAAAACAAAACAAAUAAAAAUAAAAAAGGUCACAAUUUGUUAGGCGUGUGAUUUGAAUGUUCUUGAUUAUUACGUGGCCUGUUCUUAUUUGUACAAUACUUUUCAUCAGAAUGAACAACUCUGCAGGUGGUCAUCUCCAUGCAAUCCCUAAUCUGAAGGUACGGAACUCACAAAACAAGGCUCAUCAACGUGUCGGCAUCUCCGUGGUCCAUGAUGUGUGCGCAACUCUAUGAACCGUUGAUCGGAUCCCCUUCCCCUGUAAAUAAAUAAAUAAAUCGUUUCGGGAGGGUCCCUGGCUAUCAGUGGUAGGGCUCGCAAAGAGAAAAAAAGAGGAUAAGUGGGGCUCUUCUGAUUCUCUCUCUAGGGUUUGUUUCCUCUCUCUCUCUCUCUCCCUCUGUUCCUUCUCUUCCCUCUCUUUUUCUUGUUCCUUCUAAGUUUCAUAACUGUUCAAAUUAUUUGAUUUUGCUUUCCGUAAUUAGUUCAUUAAUCUUAUCUAAUCUAAUCCUCCCCCGAAGUAUGAACAGAGAUUCAAAAUCCCAGUAAAAAAUCACCCUCUGUUCUUGCUCCGUUUCUGCAGCUAACCCAGAUUUUUCCUGCUUUUAAAUUCUUGAAAUUUUCUCCUUUUUUCAGCUUGAUUUUGUGCUUUUCCAUCUGGGUUUUCUGGGUUGUUCAAUUUUUCGGAGAUUCUUGAACUCCGGCAGAUUAUUGGGUUAGGUUUUUGGUGAAGAAGAUGAAGUCGAAUCAAAGGCAGAGCCUUCAAGAAAGCAACGAGCUUGAACGUGGUGGCGACAGUAACCACCUCCACCUCAGGGUCCAGCCCAUCAGUGGCGAAUACUCCGGAGCAAAACUUUUCGGCGACGGUGCUGAUGAUGAAAGAAGAGCUGGCGGGCCCAGUGCAACAGUUAGACCAGCAGGGAUCUCUGUCCAUGGGGAUUGUUCCGGUGCCCGUUUCUACGGCACCGAAACCUGCUAGGAGGUCGUCGAAGGACCGCCACACGAAGGUGGAGGGCCGGGGCCGGAGGGUCCGGAUGCCCGCCACGUGUGCGGCCAGGAUUUUUCAACUGACCCGGGAACUCGGCCACAAGUCCGACGGUGAAACCAUUAGGUGGCUGCUGGAGCACUCCGAGCCUGCUAUAAUUCAAGCCACCGGCUCAGGCACCAUCCCCGCUAUCGCCGUUUCGGUCGGCGGCGCUCUAAAGAUACCAACAACUUCGCCAGCGAGACCCAACGGUGAAGGUACUGAAAUACCCAAGAAGAGAAAGAAGAUGAGAGGGUCCCUGGGUGAGUUUGCUGACGUGCACGACCAGUCUAGCGGGUUGGCACCCAUAGCACCAAUGAUUUACGGCGGCGGUGGUGGUGGCUUGGUGCCUAUGUGGCAAAUUGGAGCAACCGGCGCGGCUGGGCCUUUCUUCAUGUUUCCGAACUCCGGGACGAUUCAGAACCAGCCUCAGCUCUGGGCUAUUCCGACGGCGGAUUCCACGGCGCCGAUUUUCAAUUUCCAACCCAGACCCUUGUCCAAUUUCGUCUCGGCCUUUCCAGCGGGGGUUCAAGUUGGCAGCGUUGGCGGUGGAGAUGGGCAGUUGCAGGCCUCAUCGUGUUCAAUUCCGGGCGGCGCAGCCACGGGUGGUGGUGGGAGCUGCUCUUCUAGUUUGGGACACAGUUUGGAGUCGGCCUCAGGGACUAGUGCUGCAGCAUCCGCCGCCGCUGCUCCGCGAAGCGCCACCACUCAGAUGCUGAAGGAUUUUUCGUUGGAGGUUUAUGAUAAGAGGGAGCUUCAGUUAAUGGGGCAGGCUGCAAAUUCACAAACGCCACGCUCAGAAUCUUGAUUUGGAGUUUUUAGUCAACUAAUUUCAAGUUAGGGUGUUUUUUUCUUUCAGAUUUUUAGAGGGUUUAGGCCUUUUUAGUAAUGCACCAAAGAAGCCAUUCUGUUUUUGUUUAGGCUCAAAGGUCUUUUUUGGCUUUCUCUUCUACUUUUGGCCUUAGGUUCAAGUUGCAUUUCUUAUCAAACUAAAUGGAGAUUGUUCAAUAAUUUUUAUGUAACAAGCAAAUUGACGAUUACGGUAAAAAAAGAGACUUGACUUUUAUGAGUGUAUCCGUAUCCGAAUACGGUCCAAUAUACCGAAUAUUAUAAACAAGUAACGAAUUUUUUUUUUUUUAAUUUACCACUCAUAUAAUAAGUUAAUUAACUACUCCGAUGUGGCUGAUGGACCUUAUUCACAACGAGUCUGUGAUGGAAGUUUUAAGUUUAUGUUUCAUGUCAAGCCUCUUUUUCCUUCGUUGAGCUUUUUCCCACUAAGUUUUGCUUAUCGAGUUUUUUUUUUCUCAGAGGCAUCAUUCGGGUUUUUCUGUUCACAUGCACGUUUAUGUAUGAUUUGGAUAUUAUUAAAGGAAAACUAAUGAAGAUGAUUUGAAAAUUUUGAGUUAAAAAAAAAUCGAUAAAAAUGUGUUGUAAGUGAAUAGUACAUAAUUGAUUUUUUUAAAGUAAAAAUGUGAUUUUUCGUUAAAAUAAAUAGUACCAGAAGUUUUUCGUUAAAGUCGUCUAUUAUUAACGAAGUUCUUAUUUAUCCUAAUAAAAAUCUAUUGUAAAAGAAAAUAGUUCCAUGUGGUUUGAGUUGUACACGUGCAAGUACGAUGGGACCACACUAGAAAGUUGAGGUGGGGCGUGGAUCAAGCCGAGUGGGUCAGUGUGGGCCAUGGAGUGGGCUCAUAGGAUCGGGCCACGUGUCCAUAGGAAUGCGGAUCCUUCUCGUUCUGUUCUGUUCUAACGCUGACUCCUCGUGGUGGUCCCUUCCCAUCGUUCUGGCAGUCCAGGCUGUCCCGGCCUUUUUCAUUUUUUUUUUCAUUUCAAAAUUUUAAAUUUUCAAUUGAGAAGAAGUAAUAUAGUAAUGUAAAUGAUGUAACAAAUGAAAUUUUUUCAGUCUGCCGAGAACACAAAAUUUAAACAAAUAAAAAAAAUAAAUAUGUUACUAAGAUGUUAAAAAUGAGUACUCAAAAUAUUAAGAGCUUAUUGGGUUUCAAAAGUACAUAGUUUUCCCUUUGGAAUGUAUUUGGACUAUUCAUGGAAUCAAACGAGCGUGCAUUUGACACCGUUGGAAAUUUAAGUAAAUAAACACAUAUAAUAUGCUACUCGGAAUAUAAGAACGAAUACUUAAAAGUUCAAAAACUUAUUAGGUAUAAAAAAUAAACAGUUUUUCCCUUUUGUAUUUUAUUUGGACUGUUUUCUACAUUCAUGGUAUUAAAUAAGCAUGUGUUUGAUAUCCUUUGAAUUUCUAACCAAUUGAAUUAUGUCGCUUAAUGUACCAGAUCAUGUCCCGGUCCACUACAAAGGGCGUGGAUCCUCUCCAGAUCCAUGUAUCUUAAUCCACCAAAUUCAUGUAUCUGAGUCAUUUAAAUUUGAUACAACGGCUAUAAACAGAGACUCACUUUAACAAUUAUAAUAACUUUAGCCAUUAAAUCACAUUUCAAUGAUCCGGAUACAUGAAUUUGAUGGAUUAGGAUACAUGUAUCCGGAGAGUAUCCAUGUCCCACUGCAAAAUCUCUUCUAACAAACAAGGGCUAAACCCUUGCAUAUUAGGCUCUUCUGAUUGUAAUAUUGUUGGCCUCCCACCCAAUUUAUUAGACGAGGUAAACGGGUUGGGUCAGUGCACAUCUAAAAGGCCGAUUUAACUUUUACCAAACGGGCUCAUAAACGUAUCGUCCAUAGCAUGUAUGAGGUACGUGCGCCUGGAAAAGCGUUGAACAUGUGUACUCAAAAGGCACUGGUUGGAUUUGGAGAUUCCAUUAUUCAAAAGGCUUUUUCAAUUUUUUUUCCCAGUGAUAUGAAAGGAGAAUUUUCACUUAUAAUAUGAGAGAAAUACUAGUUGAUCGUAAUUUUUAUAAUUUGUAAUUGAUUUUUCAAGGGUAGACUUGUUUCAGCACUCCUACCAUAAUCCCUUUAUCAUACCAACCAUUCAUUUUUUAGCACUUAUCACGUUCAUUCAAAGAUAGAUGAUUGAUGUCAGACUUUUGUGCGUAAAUAGUAUUAAGAUGAGUUUACUCUUUAAAAAGUGAUUACGUGAUCAAUUCUAACAAAAUUAACAUCACAUAUGAUAUUUGAUCCAAACAAAACUAAUAGGAGAAAAUACAUGAAAAAAAUUGAAAGUACGAAAAAUCACCACCAUAAAACAACACAUAGACAAAACAAUGAGCUUGGAAUAAAUAUAUUUACAAUUUUUCUUCAAAAGGCCCAAAAAGCCAGUGGUACAAAAUACAUAUGAUUAUGAUUCAAUUGAAGAAAUACAAAUUUUUUCAACUCGUCAAUUGAAUAAAUAAAAAGUCGAAAAACAAUGGAAGCAGUACUCCGUCGCAAAGCAGGGUCGUCCGAUCCCAACUCCGGCGUUGCAAACUCUCUAAAACUACAAUAAAGUUGGAUACUUCGUAGAGUUUAUGUCACUCCGCAAAUGCCAGUUCUCCUUCUUCCUUUUUUCCAGUUCUGAAAUCGCGCUCUCAAGUCCCGCCUUCACAAAGUCGUAAGCUUGGAUAUCGGUUUCUGGUUCCAAUGGAGCUCCCCGUACUUAUCAAAACAGACUUUGUUUAGCUGAUUGGAUUAGACUAUGAAUUUUACGAAAUGGGUUCUCUUAGAUAUGAUCAAUAAAUGCAGUGGCUUCCGGAGUUUCAAGCAAAUCCAUGCACAGAUUUUAGCUUCUGGGCUAGCUUCCAAUGACUUGGUUGCAAGCAGCGUGGUUGGAUUUCUCGGAAAAUCAGUUACUUCUGUUGAUUACGCUUGUGAUUUUUUGAAACAAAUUGAUUGGCGCGAGAGCUCGUUUCCGUUCAACUUGUUGAUCUCCGGCUGUGCGAGCGGAGACGCGCCGCGGGCGGCCUUUUUGGCAUUUAGAAGGAUAGUGAGAGAUGGGUUUUCACCGGAUAUGUUUACCGUCCCGGCGGUUAUGAAAUCUUGUGUGAAGUUUUCGGGGAAGGGAGAGGGCAGGCAGGUUCAUGGGGUGGUUGUGAAGAUGGGUUUUCAAUGUGAUGUUUAUGUGCAGAACUCGCUGGUACAUUUCUAUAGCGUUUGUGGGGAUUGUGGGAGUGCGGUCAAGGUGUUUGAUGAGAUGCCUGAGAGAGAUGUGGUGUCUUGGACUGGCUUGAUAUCCGGGCAUGUGAAGUCGGGAUUGUUUGAUGAGGCUAUGUCUUUGUUUUCGAGGAUGGAUGUGAAGCCGAAUGUGGCAACAUUUGUUAGUGUGCUUGUGGCUUGCGGGCGGAUGGGGUAUUUGAGUGUGGGGAAGGUGAUUCAUGGAUUGAUCUUUAAGCGUUCGUUGGGGACAGAUUUGGUGGUAGGCAAUGCUGUCUUGGAUAUGUAUGUUAAGUGUGAGAGUUUAUGCGAUGCAAAGAAAUUUUUUGAUGAGCUUCCUGAAAGGGAUAUUGUAUCUUGGACGAGCAUGAUAAGUGGAUUGGUGCAGUGUAAACGUGCAAGAGAGUCAUUAGAGUUGUUCCACGAUAUGCAAAGUUUAGGCAUCGAGCCUGAUAAAAUUAUACUUGCUAGUGUGCUUUCGGCUUGUGCCAGUCUUGGGGCUCUUGAUUGUGGAAGAUGGGUGCAUGAGUAUAUUGAUCGUAAGGGUAUCCAGUGGGAUGUCCAUAUUGGAACAUCUCUGAUAGACAUGUAUGCGAAGUCUGGCUGUAUACAGAUGGCAUUGCAGACUUUUGACGAAUUGCAUUGUGGGAAUGUCUCUACAUGGAACGCAUUGUUAGGUGGUUUAGCAAUGCACGGACAUGGGCACGAAGCGCUGAAAAUUUUUGAAGAAAUGACUCGGUCUGGACCUAGACCAAAUGCAGUGACAUUUCUAGCCAUUUUGACUGCCUGCUGCCAUGCUGGUUUGGUUGAUGCAGGCCGUCGGUACUUUUAUCAGAUGAUAAGCCAACCUUACAAUCUUUCCCCAAAGUUAGAACACUAUGGAUGCAUGGUUGAUCUGCUCUGUAGGGCUGGACUCCUGGGUGAAGCUCGGGAGUUGAUAAACACAAUGCCCAUGCAACCCGAUGUGCUGAUAUGGGGAGCUCUCCUGAGUGCUUGCAAGGCCGUAGGUGACGUUGAGCUCUCCCAAGAAAUAUUAGACGCUCUCCUGAAACUUAAGUCGCAAGAUAGCGGGGCUUACGUGCUUCUAUCAAACAUAUAUGCAACAAAUAGAAGAUGGGGGGAUGUAAUAAGGGUAAGGAAGUUGAUGAAGAGGAAAGGAAUACAGAAGUCCCCCGGAUCGAGUGUUAUACAGGUCGAUGGUAAGGCUUAUGAAUUUGUAGUUGGAGGUACCAGCCACCCUCGAAAGGACGAUAUCCAUAUACUAUUGAAUAUCCUUGCUAAACAAGUCUAUCUUGAAGGGUUUUUUCCCAUCCAUUCCUGAUAAGAUAGGUAUUUACUAUCAUUUUUCUCUUUCUUUAUGUUAUAAAUUCUGAUACUUUAGGAAGUGACGUAGAGCGGGUAUUCGAUGAUUUGAAGAAUAUUCCUGUAUAAACUUGAAAUUUUGCAAGGAUUAGAUUUAGGAAGCAAAAUAUGAGAUUACAUAACAAGCCAAGCAUGAAAGGUUCUGAAACUCUUUCGAAAUGGAAAAGGUUCUGAAACUCUUUCUGUGAAAGAAUGAAGCAUGUGUUUUCCCCUGACAGUUAAAAUUCCAUAUGUACAGAAUCUUCUCUGCAAUGAUGUUUAAUAUCCUACAAUUCAGGACCAAUUAGAAUAAACAAAUGUAUAGAUAUAGAUACAGAUAUAUAUUAUACUUAAACUUCAACUGUUUUCUGAUUAAGAGCUGUAUAUCUCCAUCUCUCCUUCUCCACAAAGUCUGCAUCCAGGAACUGUGCAACAAAUGCCCACAGCCUGUAUACGUCUUCAAAGUUGGCCAAGAAUCCGAGUGCAGCUGUAACCACGGUAAUUCCUAGAUCAGGUUUCGCCUUGGACUUGUUAGCAUCCAUUCCCUUCGCUCCGCUUUCUCUUUUCUCUAGGAUUCUCCCUUUCUCUUCAGCAUACUUAUCCGAGAACCAGAUGUGGUGUAAGAAUCCAUAGCUAAGAGAAAUAUUGUUCCUGUCGGCAAGUUUCUGUACGAGAACAGGCUCUACCUUCUCUCCAUUCCAAUCAUAUACAUUGAAUGCCAGAGCUGGUCCCCUAUCGAAUUUGAUCUUUGGCCCAUAGAUUUUUACCAAAGGAAUUCCCUUGCUGUUAGGAUGAUUAAGCUUUCUCAAUGAGCUCACCAGCCAAUUGAUCAGGUACCUUGCCCUGUUAGUGAUCACCAUUAGCCCCAGUGAAUCCACUUGAUCCAGUCCCCUGCAUACAACCUCUAGGUUCCCAUUACCGCUGCUUCUGGAAUUCUCGUCCUUCUCUGAAGAUAUUUCGAUUUCUUCCCAGUUUGCAGCUUCUUCAGCUCUCUCAGGCCGUUCUUGCUUCAAUCUUCUUGUCGGUGUUGACUGAUUGGAUAUCAGACCGGAGAAAGAACUUGCCGUGCCUAAUGCAUCUAGCUGCAUGCCAAGUCUGGAUAUCUGCUCAAGCUCUGUGUCGGUACCGGAAGAAUCCCCUGCUAUUUGAAGCAAUUGCUUUGCCGGGACAAGAUUUACAAUUCCUGUGCUCGUGGAAACUUCUAGGACCGAAACAGCAGAUUUCUUGACAAAGAGGCAUGCAAAGCCUGAAGGGUUUUCCCCACAAAUCUUGUAGAAGGAAGAAAUGAGGAAAUCGGGUUGAAAGAGAGAGAGGCCGAAGCUGUCCAUAUCUUUUGGUCCUAAUGCACAAGCAUCAACCAAGACGUGCCACCCGUUCUCCUGCGCCAUGGUCAUCCAUAUGUAAGGAUACCUGGAGCCUGUUAUCCUAGAAUGUACCGGAAACAUGAAAAGCCCCCUUUUCUUCUUCUUCUUCCUCUUGCUUACGACCAUCUUCCUCAACUUGGCCGACUGAAUCCUCAGCCGGGGCCACGAAAACUCCGCCGACAUGACUUUGGCUCCUCUCUUUUCGGAGCUGUUAAUCAUCCCUUCCACUGCCUCACUCUCGUAAUCAUACACCGUCAGCAGCUUCCUACUGGUCUUGAACGGGUAAGAUUCCGCCACAAGUUUAAAAGCCGAUGUUCUGUUGGCAGUGAAAACCAUGCUGUAAUCAUUUUCUGAUAUGUUAAGAAAAUCCAUAAUCCUGUUUCUCAUUGCAGAUUCCAGCUCUGAUUCCUGGCCGCCAUGAAGCAGCUGCGUCUUCAAACUCCCUGUCUUGUACGACAAACUAAAGAAGGGGAAAUCCGACCUCACUUGAGAAGAGGAUUCGUGAUUGUGCAGCUGAGAAGAGGAGAAGAGGCCGAUGCCAAUAUAAUCAAGGCAGGUAUGGUUUGACUGUGAGAGAUGGUAGUACUCUUUAGCUCGUAUCCGAUCAACUUCCGCAGUCUCAUGGUAUUUGGGAUAAACGUUGGUGAAGUCAGCGAAGGACUCGUGCAAAGACGGGAGACACUCGUGGUUGGUGAACACGGUGUUUGGGAAUAUGGAUGAUGAAGUCGUGGCUGCAAAGUCGCGGCGACAAGCUGCAGAAGUGCUUCCGGAAUUGGACAUGGUGCGGUGGUGAUGCGCUGACAGCUUCUGUAACGGGUUGGGGCAGCAGCCACUGAGGCAUACUUCUGUGACCUCCUUCCAGCAAGGUGACUGCAUCUCUCGCCCUCUCUCUCUCAACAAUUUUGGUAAAGUGUGGGGAUUUUGUUUGUUGUUUUGAUUAAGUCUUCUGCUAUUGGUUUGUAUUUAUAAGAAGUUAUUUUUCGGUUGGAAAAAGGUGCAGAAGGUUACUUUGUCUUACCUGUUUUAGUUUGAACAGGUCGUGACACUUAAAGACUCUGCUUAAUUAGGUGGCUUAGUUGACAUUUUCUCUAGUUAAUUUCAUGUUUAACCAGUUAUCAACAAGGCGUGCAUAAGAUCGUUAUGACCUAAGGGAUUUGGUCUCAACUGGUCACUUUUUUUUUUUGUUACACUUGACUGAAUCGAAUACUUAACCUAUCUUAAUUCUAAUUUGUUACUCAACUUUCACUCACCACUUCAACUAACCGUAACGACUUCAUAUAAACCCGUCAUUUAGUCAACAAGGCGUGCAUCGGUAUGAUCAUGAUGCAUUAUAAUGAUCCCUCUAAACGUGCUUAACUUUAAUCCUAUAAUUCCUAAGCACUACAAGUGUAAUGUAUGUCUUUUUGUGAAAGGCGGACUCGGGCAGAGAAAGCAAGAGGCAAAAGUGGAAGACAAAAGGGCUGUUUUUCCCUUUGUGGCCGGCAUCAUCGGUGUGGCCAACAUUGCUUCUGUAAUCUCUAUGAAUUCUUCCAACUUGCUUAAGCCUUAAGUUUGAAUAAUUCUUUUAACUUUCAUAGAUUGUGCCGAUGUGCAAAUUUUGGAGAGAGGAUCAUUGACGGAUCCUUUUUUGUUAGGAUUCUAGGAUCCUCCAAUCACAUUUGUUCAUCGUAUAUCGUGCGAUUAAUUUUUAUCAGGUACUAUUUAUAUUCAAUUUUAAAUAAAAAAAUUUACAAUAAUUUAUGAUAGCACAAUGUACAAAAAAAUAAAUAUAAUUAAAGAAUUUCUACAAUCCUCACAAAGAUCCCGACAAAUUUUGCAUGGCAGUUGUACUAAAAACCAAUUUAUUUAUUAUUUCUUAAAGGCUCCAACUGUUUCAAACUAAAAACCUAUUUAUUUAUUAUUUCUUAAAGGCUCCAACAGUCUCAAUUUGCUUCUUUCUGUUGAUUGUGGCCAGAAAUGCAAUAGCUGUCUUAAUUUUUGAGAAAAGAUAUUCUCCGGUUUUCUUUCAUUAAGAACACCGGAUCAAGUGAUAUGGACUUUUAAAAUUUCAUCCAACGGUCCAUUUGUUUUGACCUCUUAAAAGUUAUAAUAAUUUUUUACCGUUUGAUCAAAUUUUAAAGUUUUGGAUCACUUGAUCUGAUGACCUUAGUGAAAGAGAUCUGGAGAGGAUCUCUUUUCUUAAUUUUUGAAAUAAUUGGGGAUAAACUUUACAUUAAAGGCUGUUCUCUUCAUCAAUUGUGAAGGGUAUGAUUUUUCUAAUUAAUAAUUUUUUUGUUUUGGACUUUUUAGCCAAAAUAGUUUAUUAGAUUGGUCUAACUCUUCAUUUUGGUCUUCGAGAUUUAACCUAAGAUUGUCUACGAUCAAUCAUUUUAGUCAUUUUGUGAAAAAAUCUUCUUUAAAUUGAAAAACCCACUAGUUCAGGGGAAUGGGUUGACUGACAAAAAAUAAACUUAUUUUAAAUGAAAAUUCUCACAAAUAAAAAUGAUUGACGGUGACAAUCUCCGGACUAUUUUUUUCGAUUUUAAAUUUUAUAGACCAAAGUGAGAAGUUAUGUUGGUCUCAUGGAUCAUUUUGGAUAAAAAGAAAGAUAUUUUUUCUUUUUUAUAUGUUAUCGAUAGUUUGAAAUAUUGUAACCUAUGGGAAGGGGAUUUGAGCUCGAAUGCAACUGGGCGAGCACAUUGUUUUGAUCAACUGAUCUGAAAUACAUAUGCAACUAAUAAAUAAUUUGAUAUUGUUUGUGAAUGUGGAUGGAAAUGAGGAAUGAGGAUCCUCGUCGAUUCUUUUUGUGAGGAUUCUGGGAAUCUUCAAAAUAUAUCCGUUCAUCAUACAUCGUACGAUAAGAAAUUAUUGUAAUUUUUUUAUUUAAAAUUAAAUAUAAACAAUACUUGACGAAAACUGAUCACACGAUGUAAGAUGAACAAAUUUGAUUGAAGGAUCCUAGCCGAAUCUUCACAAAGAGGAUCCGACGAGGAUCAUUUUCGGAUUCCUUUCCACCUAAUCCACCUAGUAUGGGAUCCAUAUUGUUGAAAUUUGAUCCAAUAAUUAUAGUUAUUAUCAUUUUUAAAGGGUUCUUUAUUUGUAAUCGUUGUAUCAUUUUAACAGUUAGAAUUCUGGAUUAGAUGGAAAUGGAUCCGGAAAAAAUCCACUCUCUCGUAAAUAAGGAUCCAAAAAAUGUUUUUACAAGGAGGAGAUAAUAUUGGUGUCAGCAAUCAACAUCAUUUUUUCAACUUCCAACAAAUAAUGGUUUAAUAGCCACUCUAUCUCUAUCUAAAAUCAGCGGUCCAAAAUUGAAUGGGUACAAUGCCACUAAUUUUCAUAAAACAUCAUUUUCAAGCAAGAAAUGAUUAGAAAAAAAACUGACAUCUACAAAAAGUUUCGAGAGAGAGGAAGCUAUUCCAUUUUAGAAUCACAGCAUAUCACAAGCCUCUUUAAGAAUUUUUAUUUUUAUUUUUACAAAACGUCUAACAAGAGAGAUUAUCGGCAAUGAGAUUCAAACUUAGACCUUAGUAUACCAAAAAGAAUGAUUCUUACUAACUCAACAAACUCUAGUUGGCAAUUAAGGACUGGUUUGGUAUUGUUGUUCUUUGAAAAAAACUGCUUCUACUGUAUUAUGAGAAUAAACUCAUUUUUUUUGCUUCACAUUUUCAGUUUUUUUUCACCAAAAACUGUGAAAAUAAGCUGUUUUUAAGUGUUUACCAAACACAUUUUUGAAUUCAGCUUUUUUUAUACCCAUUUUUUAUAAAAGUACAUCAGUAUCAAAUCAGUAUUAAGUUAAUUUUCUCAAUAAUGGUUGGAAUAUUAGAUAUAUUUUUAGGUUUAAUUAUGGGCUAAAAAGUGGAGCAUAUGAGCCAAGGUAUUUUUUUUGUCCUUAAUACGUACAAAGUGAGGAGAAAUCCCUAAAUUAGAAAAGAGGAAGUCAACAAAGGGAAAAUCAGUAUAUUGCCGCUGCACUGUCCUAGACUCCUAAUUGAUGUUUUGGAAUGAUGAAAAAGCAAAAGAGAAAAAGAUAAAAGUUAAAGAUAAAGAAACAACAACCUUUUGAUUGAUCACAGCACACGGUUCACACCCGACACAGGUGUUUGUGUGUUUGUGUGUUUGCGUUUGUAUUUGUGUGUGUAUCUAGUUUAAGUUAAGCAUGCAAGAUUUUACUAAAUCUCACUUGUUGACUCUGCCACAAACAAAAUCUCUUUUUUUUUUUUUUUUUUGUUAAAAAAAAUCUCAUUUGUAUGGUAUAGGGUUUUGGAAUUCCAAGUUCCAAAUUUGUAAACAGAAUAAGCCAAAUGCGCUUUGAGUAGUUUGUAUGUCUCAAAAUAAAUAAAAUUUACUCAUUCGAUCAUAAUAAAUAUAAUUUUAUACGAAAAGAGUGAAUAUUGUUGGUUUCGAUUUCAAGUUUAGAUAGUUUAUGGUCAGGAUUUACAAAUCAAUUGGUUAAGAACAUUCAUUAUUAUAUUUGAAAUAAAUUUUGAUUUCUCUCUCUUCUUCAGCAUUGUUUGUGUGUGUGUAUACUAUAUAUAUAUAUAAUCAACGAGUCUAGGUAGCUUGCUAAUGCUCAACAUUGGGCCACAAGGUAUAUUAUAAGUAUCACUCUAAUAUUCAUUGCUUUUAUACGUAUAUAAACAUAUAAGUACGGUUUUAAUAUAUUCGUUGCUUCUAACGUAUAUAAAAAUAAGGUAAGAACAAUAAUAUAUUUAGUCAGAAAGCUUUAUCUAUUUGAAAUGUUAUAAGGAUUGUUGGGUAGUUUGCUUGCUAAUGCAUGCAUACAUAUUCUAAAUGUGAUCAAGAAUAUAACCUUUAUUUAAUGGGCUUCCUAAUAAUUAAAGUAUAUGGUAUAUGGUUUUCGUCCAAUUUCAAUAUCAUACGUCUUUCAAUUCUUUUAAUUUUUCACAUUUUGGUUUUCAUUUUUUUUUUGAAACUGAAAAUAGUUAUCAAACAUGAUUUUAGUUUUCAGUUUUCAAAAUAGUCACAAUUGAAAACUGAAAACAAAAUUGCUACGCCCCUUAAUUUUUAUUACAAGUUAAUGUUCACGCAUUUGGAUUUAUAUUAGUCUAUACUAUCAUGAGCUUUCAUUUUUGAUAGCUACACGCCUCAAUGUUCAUUCAUGAAACUAUUGCUUACAGUUAACACAUAAGAGUUUCUCUAGUGGAACCGAAGCUCGAAUUUAGAAUUUGUGUUCAAUUACUAGUCAUAUGCAUAGCUUGUAUCAACAAAUAUAAAAAAUAAGCUCAAACUCAUCCAAGCCCAUUUGUUAUUGCUUGGAACCUAUGAUUUAUGGACUUAAAUUCAAAAUUUUGAGGGGCAAUAUUCUCUCUCUUUAUUUUCCCUUUGGUCUUGUGUGGGCCUGGCUCAUACAAGACAGCCCCAUAGGCCGAAUAUGAACUGUCGGACAGCCUAAUCAUAAGAUUUUAGAGCUAAAAAGGGUCUUAACCUCUCUUCGCCAUGUGAUAUCCCAUACAAAAAAGCGUCGGCAUUCUCAUGCAGUUGUAAGUAAAGCUCACAGAAAAGCAGUUUUUUCUUCUUCUUUUGUUUUAAGGUCAGAAGUGGAAGAAAGCAGCUGCAAAAACGUAUGUCAUGUUCUUCACGAGUUCUCUUCUACCAAUUCUUAUCUGCAUACUGCAGUGAAUAUUUAUGUAUCAAUCAAUACAGCUUCUACAUGAUCAUUACAGAGAAUUAGGGUUUUGAAAAGAUUACAGGACAUUAAAAAGCUCAGUACAUAUUUGAAAAUUUGUGAAAAGAACGACCGUAAAGUCUUCGAGAAGGACAUUUUCAGAAAGAUGGAAUGGAAGUGGAACAUAAUAUCACAGCUGACAGCCCCAUAAAACGCUUCCAGAAGUGGGGGUAUCUAGCUAUAACCAAAUAUCACCCUAAACUAUCAAUUAAUUUGCUUUCUUUCCUUAAACAACCUUACCUUGUUAGAAAUAUAAGAUUGUAAGGUUGUGAUGAUGCCACAUGUAAACAGAUUAGCUGGUCUAUUAUAUUUGUUAGAAGAGUCGGUUGGUUAUAACUAUAAAUACUUAAUCUUGUAAUAUUAAGCAAGAUAUCAAUUCAAUCAUUUUUUUCCUCCUAUUUCUCUGUCUACAAUUCUCUUUAUCUCUCUCUCUCUCUCUCUCUCUCUCUCUCUCUCUCUACAUUCAUAGAAACUAAGAUACUUGGUUAAUAUGGUAUCAAUCGCCAUUGUUGCUCACGCAUAAAGAUUCGAUCCUUCGUUGCUUCCACCUUCUACGAUUCUUCGUCUGCUACUCUGGAGACUUAGGGCCUCGUAUAAAUACUCGGGGGACUUAAAUGUAAUUAUGUAACAAAGGAAGGGGCAAAUAUGUAAUUAGGGGUGGAGCCCUUAUUCUAUAAAAGGGUCUCCUCACCCUCACAAACCCUAAGCCUCCUCACACCCCCUAAGCUCUAAGCUCUCUCUCUCCCUCUUCAACAGAGAAAUAUAAUACAAUCAGUGUGGACGUAGCCCAAAUCUUGGGGUGAACCACGAUACAUCUUGUGUUAUUUACAUUACUUGCAGAUUCACGGUCAGAUUUAUGUUGUUCCAAGACCUCCAGUUUUGUGCAUUAACAUUUGGCGCCGUCUGUGGAAAACGACACGAAAAGCUAUGUCGGUUCUCUUUCAUUUUUUUCAUCUCACCGCCGUGAGACCUCACCACACUCCAUUUUGAAUCUGCAGAAACCCAAGAACCCAGAAAACCUCGCUCUUUGGGCUUUCCCAGAAAAGCUUCGCACACUCUGUGCAGUUAAAAAACUCCCCAACAACCCCAAUCUCCCCCUCUGAGGCUUUUCAUCAAACACAUAGCGAUCAACUCCAAGAGGCCCAUCAGAAAAUCAAGCCGGCUUCUGCAAACAGCAGUCCUGAAGCAGAUUCUCAAGAGGUGAUCCAGCUUGAAAAAAAAAAAAAAAAAACAACGAACUCCAAAGCAGCAGCAGCAGAUCUGAAAAUCUGCAUUUCCAUCCGAUACGUCCAAACCCCUAAUCGAAGGGUCCGAGAUCCGAAACCUCCAUCCAGUUCAGAGCUCCAGCAUCCGAUGAUGGAGUCCGGAAAUGCUGCCGACGACUCCUCCACGGUGGCAAGCCUCAUCCCGUUGGCCUCCACCUCCUAGCAACCCUACGUCUCCGAGCUCCUCUCUUUCACCUUCGAUCGCCUUCACAAGGAGCCGAAGCUUCUCCGGGUCGAUGUGAAGCGAAUACAGAGGCAAAUGCAGGAGAUGGCAGUGGCCAAUUACCGAGCUUUCAUUACUGCUUCCGACGUGUUGGUCACAAUUCGAAACGAAGUGUCUUCCAUUGACAAACAUCUCGAGUCUUUGCUAGAGGAGAUGCCGAAGUUGAUGAAUAGGCGCACUAAGUUUGUUGAAUCUGCGAAACAUAUUUUGGAAAAGAGGAAAUUGAACCAGACGUGAAGCACAUGAAGAAAUUGAAUUUGAGAGGUGGUUUCCAAUAGGGUCCGCGCGGCCCUCAUCUACCUCAGCCAUCUUCGCAUGAUUAUCUCGUACUCAAGUGCUUCUGUCGGUGAUUAAAGUUUAAAAGUUGUGUGUGACAUUGUGCAUAUAUUCUGAGGGAUUAUCUGCUAUGUCUCGAAUGUGGUGAGAAUGUGCUCGAGCCAGGCUUCCAUACUCAAGAAAUCAGGAAAGCAGUGGAAAAGAGAAAGCAAAAGAAAAGCAGGAAAGCAGUGGGGAACAAAACAGAAAAGAGAAAGCAAAAGAGAAAGCAAAAGUGAGGAAUAAACAUCCCAUAUGUGAUUUACUUUUGUUAUUUCUGAAUGAUGUAAUUUAUUUUAUCUUUUCGGAGACAUCUGUAUAAACCCCAUCAGAGGGUAAUAAUACCAAAAAAAAAAAAAAAAGCAAAGCUCAAAGUAAAUGGGCUGGCAUGUUGUGGAGAGCGAAGGCUCAUAAGCCUAAAAUAGCACCAACCAGGUCAUUAAAAGUACGCCCAGUACUCCAAAAUUAUUCGGUAACCCGUCGCUACUACCACCAACCAGGUCAUCAAAAGUACGCCCAGUAAUUCCAAAAUUAUUCGGCAACCCGCCGCUAUUAUCACCAACCAGGUGACCAAAAGUACGCCCAGUACUCCAAAAAUUACUCGGCAACUUGCCGCUAUUACCACCAACCAGGUGAUGAAAUGUACAACCCGUACUCUAAUAUCAUUUGGCAACUAGCCAUUCAUGCCACCAACCAGAUGAUCAAAAGUACGCCCAGUACUUCAAAUCAUACAUGAGCACUACUCAUGUCAAUCAUACAUAAACAUUCAUGAACAUUACUCAUGUCAAUCAUACAUAAACAUUCAUGAGCAUCACUCAUCCAAUCAUACAUAAACAUUCAUGAGCAUCACUCAUCCAAUCAUACAUAAAAAUUCAUGAGCAUCACUCAUGUCAACAUCCAUGAGCAUCACUCAUGUCAAUCAACAUAAACAUCCAUGAGCAUCACUCAUGUCAAAAGCUUCAUUUACAGAGCUCUAGCUUCAAAAUCGUCAUUUACAGAGCUCUAGCUUCAAAGCUUCACUUGCAAAGCUUCACCUACAAAGCUUUAGUGCAGGGUAUACAAAUACCACAUCCGAACAACCACCACUUCGGCCUAUACAUGGAUUCAAUUUAAAGUCUCCAGUCAACAUACUCUAUUGAUCGAAGACUUAGGGGACUACAUUAUGUACCAUAUAUUGGGCCUCAUGAAAAAUACUUGGGGGACUCUAGCCCAUUAUUUAUGUACUGAGGAGAAAACCCUUAUUUUAUAAAAGGGACUCCCUCACUUUCAUUAGAGAGCACUCAUUCUUCAUGUACUGAGAAGCGAGCCUUUAUUUUAUAAAACUCUCUAGGGACUCUCUUACCAUCAUUAGAGAGCAACGCCGCCAGUUAGCAACUGCCUCGCCGCGAGCAUCACUCCUAACCCAUCACUUAUGUAUUGAGGAACGAGCCUUUAUUCUAUAAAAGGGACUCCCUCACCACCAUUAGAGAUCAUCGCCGUCUACUGAGCAACUGCCUCGCCGUGAGUAUCAACUUUAACCCAUCAUUUAUGUAUUGAGGAACGAGCCCUUAUUCUAUAAAAGGGACUCCCUCACCAUCAUUAGAGAGCAUCAAUUCUAGCCCAUCAUUCAUGUAUUGAGGAGCGAGCCCUUAUUCUAUAAAAGGGACCCCCUCACCUUCAAACGUCGCAAGCCGAGCCAACCAAGGCAACAUAAGCCACGAGCUGAGCAGCCUUGCAGCGUGUGCUACCUCUAGUUGAGCGUCAUUUCAGAUUGAGCACUGCCUCAUAUCGAGCAUCAGUUCAAGACAUCAUCUAGUUACUUCGACCCACACAUGGACUGAAUUUCAAGUCUCUAGCCAAAAGACUUUCUUGACUGAAGACUUGAGGGGCUAUUGUUUAUACUAUAUUUAGGGCCUCGUAUUUAGACCUCGUAUAAAUACUCGGGGGACUUAAAUGUAAUUAUGUAACAAAGGAAUGGGUAAAUAUGUAAUUAGGGAAGAAGCCCUUAUUCUAUAAAAGGGUCUCAUCACCCUCACAAACUCUAAGCCUCCUCACACCCCCUAAGCUCUAAGCUCUCUCUCUCCCUCUUCAACAGAGAAAUAUAAUACAAUCAGUGUGGACGUAGCCCAAACCUUGGGAUGAACCACGAUACAUCUUGUGUUAUUUACAUUACUUGCAGAUUCACGGUCGGAUUUACGUUGUUCUAAGACCUCCGGUUUUGUGCAUCAACAGAAUCACCUUUUUCUCUCGGUGAUUUCUCUUGGUGUUCAAGAUUCUAGGGUUUCUUGCUUCUGUUCGUCUGCUAUUUUGGAGCUGAAUUGUCUCUUCUCUUGGUGUUCAAGAUUCUAGGGUGUCUACAUCAAGCCAAGAUUCUUGAUUUCUGGGUGUUUUUCGUCUGCACACAAGGUGUUUGUUUUUUUUUUUCCAUGCCAUGGAAAGGUAUUUUUUCGUUCAGCUUCUUCAUAUACAAUCAUGGUAACUGCUUCACAACUUCAGAUUUUGCAAUCUCCAAUUACUUGGUUGAUUUCCUAUGUGUCAACUUCUGUGAAUGUCAAAUUAGAUGAAUCUAAUUACCUUAAUUGGCAUUUUCAAAUGGAAUUAAUGCUGGAGGGACAUGAAAUUAUAGGGUUUGUUGAUGGUUCGUCCCCAUGUCCUCCUCGUUUUGUAUCUUCUGGUUCUAUUGCAUUUGAAGUCAGUUAUGGUAAUUUAUCUGCUAAUAUUGAAAAUGAUGAAUAUAAAGUGUGAAAAAUGCACGAUAGUGCACUUAUGCAGUUGAUAACUGCUACACUGUCACCUGUAGCUGUUUCUUGUGCUAUAGGGAGUACUAGUUCUUAGGACAUUUGGACUCAUCUCAAAUAUAAUUUUUCGACAGUUUCAAGAACUAGUAUCUUUCAGAUGAAGUGUGACUUACAAACCAUUAAAAAGGGUUCAAAUUCAGCAUCUCGGUAUCUACAGAGAAUCAAAGAAGCUUGCGAUUAUCUCUCUGCUGCAGGAGUGUUUUUUGAGGAGGAAGAUAUUGCGAUUUUGACCUUAAAUGGAUUACCUUCUGAAUAUAACACAUUCAGAUGUGUCAUUCGUGGAAGAGAAAAGGUCAUCCCAUUGAAGGAAUUUAGAUCUCAAUUGCUUGCAGAAGAAGCAAUUGUUGAAGCAAGUAUUAAUACUCAGAUGUUGUUUGCCAAGUUGGCUACCAAUGUUCCUACUACUGACAGGGGUUCUAAUGAUCAAUCAUCUGGCACUUCUCCUAAUUCUGGGUAAUCCAACUAUGGAUUUAGGCAGUACAACAACAAAUACAAAGGCAAAAGCAAGUUCAAUCAAGGAAAUAAAUUUAACAUGCCAAGGCAGUCAUAUCACACUCAAACUCGAGUGCUUCCAACUCCAAGUCUAGGUGUUCUUGGUCAUGCACCUCAGCAAGCUUAUUGUGGUUAUCCUGAUCCUUAUAAUACUUGUCAACUGUGCUAUUAAGAAAGGCACACUGCACCUUUCUGUCCUAAUCAGUUUAGGUCUAAGCCUAAGUGUUACAUUUGUGGUCAACAAAAUCACAUUGCUCAUUAUUGUUUUCACAAGGAUAAAGAUCCUCGUUUUUUACAACAACAGUUUGGCAUGUCUCAUAAUUCCUCUACUCCACCAUACUCUAUGCAAGCAAUGAACAUUGUGUUUUCUUAACCCUCACAGUCAAUACAUGGCAUGUCCUCCACUCAAGUUGUUUCUCCUCAAGUUUGGAUUGCUGACUUUGGUGCAACCAACCAUAUGACUGCUGAUUUCAACAACUUGACCUUGGCUACUCCUUAUCCUACUUCUGAAACAGUUCAAACUGCUAAUGGUGAAGGUCUACGAGUAUCUCAUAUUGGGAGUACAAUUCUCAAACCUCAUAUUCAUUCCAUUAAGUUGAAUUCUAUACUAUAUGUGCCUCAAUUGUCUCAAAACUUGUUAUCUGUGCAUCAAAUUUGUCUAGACAAUAACUGUUAGCUAAUAUUUGAUGCAUAUAAUUUUUGGAUACAGGACAAGGCCACAAGGAUGAUAUUGUUCAAGGGAAUUUGCAGUAAAAGGCUAUAUCUAAUACCCUCACUUGCCAAUCAUCAUUCUACAACUCAGAAAUUGAUUUUGUAACCAAAAGCUUUUCUUGGUCAGCUUGUCACAUCUAUUAUUUGGCAUAAUAGACUAGGUCAUUCAUCAAACCCCAUUGUGUCUUUAAUGCUUAGUAAAGCUCAAAUACUUUGUACAAAAUCUUCAUUACCUAUGUUGUGUCAAAGCUGCUUAGAAGGCAAGUUUAACAAAUUGCCAUUUCAUUGUAGUGUCAAUAAGGCUGUUAAACCUUUUGAAGUUGUUCACAGUGACAUUUGGGGUCCAGCACCAUGUUUUUAUGCUGAUAGUUUUAGAUAUUAUGUAACAUUCAUUGAUUGUUGGAUGUUUCCUUUCAUUAAUAAAUUAGAUUUGUUUGACACAUUUGUUGGCUUUUAUUCAUUUGUGUUGAAUCAAUUCUCAGUUUCCUUUCAAAUGUUGCAAAGUGAUAGGGGUGGGGAAUACCUUAGUAACAGGUUUCAAAAGUUUCUUAAAGGAAAAGGCAUUUCCCAUCAAAUAUCUUGUCCUUAUACUCUUGAGCAAAACAGGUUAGCAGAGAGGAAACAUAGACAUUUGGUAGAAACCACCAUUACCCUUCUUCAAAAUGUUUAGUUGCCACCCCAAUUUUGGUCAUUUGGUUGUCAAACUGCCAAUUAUCUCAUAAAUAAGAUGCCCUCUGCAAUUUUGCAAAAUAAGUCACCUUUUGAGCUUUUGUUUGGAGAGUUACCUUUAAUCUCACACUUAAGGGUUUUUGGGUGUACCUGUUAUCCUAUUCUUAAGCCUUACAACAAUACCAAAUUGCAACAAAAAACAACCAAAUGUGUUUUUCUUGGGUAUGCUUCCAAAUAUAAGGGUAUAUCUGUUAUGAGGUGCUAAGUCAAAGGUUCUACAUUUCUAGACAUGUGGUUUUUAAUGAAUAAAAGCUUCCUUAUUCAGCCUUAUUGACAAUAGCUAAUUCUUCACCUAAGACACAUACACAUUUUUCUAUAGCAGCUUCUUUUACAUAUCCAUUACCUAUCAUUAAUAGCCUUAAUGAAUUAGUUACAUUUCCAUCUUAUUCAUCAUCACAUACAUCUUCUAUACCUAUGUCACCACGAUUAUCAUCUCAUAGUCCAGUUGUUACACCAUUACAACAUCUUUCAAUCCAACUUCAUCAGUACCCUCACACACAGUAACCCCAAGUCAUGUAUCUCAGUCCAUUACUGUAGCUGCAAAUUCCUAUCCUGAGAUCCAUGUGGAACUUGAUUUUAGUCUUGAUAGUCUUCAAGUUGUGUUGCCAAUCCCUCCACUAAAUUUACAUCCUAUGCAAACAAUGAGUAAGAGUGGAAUUGUUAAAAAGAAUGCACUCUUGACAACAUUUGAUGAAUUUACAAAUGUUGAUCUUUCUUUGGUGGAACCUGCCACUUACAAGUCCGCACUCAAGGUUCCAGUUUGGAUGCUUGCUAUGAAAGAGGAAUUGGAUGCAUUGUAUAAACAAGGGACAUGGAGUUUGGUUUCUUUACCACUACAAAAGAACCUAGUGGGCUACAAAUGGGUAUUCAAGAUCAAAAAACACUCUGAUGGAUCUAUAGCUCGGCAUAAAACUCGGUUGGUAGCAAAAGGAUUUAGCAAAGAACCUGAUUUAGACUAUGGAAAAACCUUCAGUCAUGUGGUGAAGCCAACUACUGUCAGGAUAAUAUUGGCAUUGGCAACUCAAUUUGAUUGGCCACUUAGACAACUUGAUGUCAAAAACGCUUUUUUGCAUGGAAUUCUUCAAGAAGAGGUAUAUAUGGCUUAACCUCUAGGUUUGUAAAUGCUAAUCAUCCUGAGCUAGUUUGUAAGUUACAAAAGUCUCUCUAUGGGUUGAAGCAAGCUCAUCGGGCUUGGAAUGAAAGGUUCACUACAUUUCUACAUUCUCUGGGGUUUCAAAAUACCUAUUCUGAUUCUUUUCUCUUUCUCAAGCAAGCUAGUGAAUUUGUUGUGCUUUUAUUGUUGUAUGUGAUGAUAUAAUCAUCACAGGGAAUAGUUUUGCAGCAAUUACACAGGUCAUUAACUCUAUAAAGACUGAGUAUGAUAUCAAGGAUUUGGGGCAUCUACAUUUUUUUCUGGGGAUUCAAAUUGCUAGACAUACAAAUGGUCUGUUCUUAUCUCAGACUAAAUACAUACAGGAUCUGUUGCACAAAACAGAUAUGAUUGACUCUAAAGCUUGUGAUACUCCAUGUCUUCAUUUUAAUCGCCUUUUGAAUGAUGAUGGUAAACCCUAUAACAAUCCAACCAUGUAUAGGAGUAUAGUAGAGGCUAUUCAGUAUCUUACAUUCACUAGGCCUGAUAUUGCCUUUUCUGUUCAUUAGGUGUGCCAGUUUAUGCAAGCACCCAUGAAUUCUCAUUUUACAGCUAAGGAUCUUAAGAUACUUAAAAGGGACUAUGCAUCUGGGGUUAACAUAUUCCAAGGGUGAUUUGAAUCUCAAAGCUUUUAGUAAUGCUGACUGGGCUGGAGACCCUAAUGAUAAGAGGUUUACAACUGGUUUAGUUGUCUUCUUAGGUACCAAUCACAUAUCUUGGUCAUUUAAGAACCAACAAACUGUUUCUUGAUUGUCUACUGAAGCUGAAUAUCGGGCAAUGUCUUCAACAGCUGCUGAAUUAGAUUGGAUACAACAAAUUCUGGCAUUUUUGCAGGUUUCCAUUUGCUCUUCACCUGUGCUGUUUUGGGACAAUCUUUCAGCAAUUGCCUUAUCCUUCAAUCCAACUCAACAUCAACGAACUAAGCACAUUGAGAUAGAUGUUCACUUUGUUCGAGAGAAGGAUGCCAAGAAGUAAUUACUUGUUUAGUUUGUUUCUUCUCAAGAACAAUUUGCUGAUAUUCUUACAAAAGGAUUUAGUGCUCAUUUGUGUAAGGCUCAUUGUAACAAUCUAAUGCUUGGUAGCUCCAAGCAUGAGAUUGCGGGGAAAUGUUAGAAGUAUAAGAUUGUAAGGCUGUGAUGAUACCACAUGUAAACAGAUUAGCUGAUCUAUUAUAUUUGUUAGAAGAGUCGGUUGGUUAUGACUAAAAAUACUUAAUCUUGUAAUAGCUUUCUUAUUAAGCAAGAUAUCAAUUCAAUCAUUUUUUUCCUCCUAUUUCUCUGUCUACAAUUCUCUUUCUCUUUCUUUCUCUCUCUCUACAUUCAUAGAAACUGAGAUACUUGGUUAACAUACCUUACCAAAAAAAAGAAGCCAAAAUUCAUACACCUUGAAAAAGUGUCUUCAUUUGUCUAGUAGUACACCUACCUUGGUGCAGGUCAAAGUAGCUGUAGAAAUCUUUUCUACAAAACUGUUUCAGUGGGAAAUUGUUCAUUGCUUGUUUAUAUGGCUUCCACCCACAAUAAUCACACUAUUUCAGUACGCAAGUGCUCUUGCAAAACCCACAUGGUAAAAGCAACUUUGCGUGCUUGGUCACAACUCACAAGGUAAAACUUUAGGGUACAUAAAAAGGGGUGUGAUUCAACCAAAAAAGAAAAAAAAAAAAGUGUGAUAUCUACACACUUAUUUUUACUUAUCAUACACCCUUUUAAUUUUCAGUCGUCGGAUCAGAUGAAUUGAAGAAGAUCAAAUGAUAUAAUAAAUUAAUAAGAGAUGUGUAAGAAGUAGAAAUGAGUGUAUGGAUAGCACACCUGCAUAAAUAAAUGUACCAACUAUAUAUUUUAAGAUAAUUACGAUAUUCAUUAGUAUUACGAAAAAAAUCGUAAAAAAGAGGAUAUGGCUAUUAUACCUUAUAGCAUCGCAGUUAGCCCAAAAUAAAAUCACCAUAGCUGUACCAGUUGUGUACAAAACACUUACGUAUUUCAAAUUGUCGAUCUUGGCUAUUAUACCUUAUAGCAUCGUAUGUAUUUCAUCUCUGCAGUAUGAUCAGGCUGCAAAGUUCAUUAAGCUAAAGCAAUCGCAGGGCAACUCUCCUUUGGCAAGUCAAUGAAAGUGAUUGUAGUUGCAUCAUUCACCAGUGCCUGCCAAGAGGGAGGAGCCCUAUGACUGAUUUGCUUAUUUGACAAGUACUUCUUCUAGCACAGAUGCUUCUGGGUUUCAACAACGGCACUGCCGGCACGAGUUAUAUAAGUUCUUUGAUUUGGGGUCAAAGACUCUAAGUCGGAGAGAUGGAAUAAAAGCAGUGAGAAGAAACAGCAUAUCCAAUGGAUUAUGCUUUGGGAACAUCCAGGAAAAAAGUAGAUGAAAAGAGAUGCCUUUACCCUCCCCAUUUUCUUAUAUAUAGCAUAUUCAUCUUAUUCCUCUACUGUCUUUUUGUUUUAAGCGUUGUUUUUUUUAUGUUUUAUGUGUGAUUACAUUGGAGGGUUUCGAGCCCUGGACCUAACGGACAUUUGCAAUAUAUAUUAUUAGCAUUUUGUGUCUUGAAGACAAAUUCCCCUCACCCUUAUGUUGAAAUUAGCUCCAAAUUUAUUUGACUUUAGUAGUUUGCUACACCUGUGUUCAUUUCAGUCUUACUCGUGCCAGUAUGUAUCUAACUCUUUCUAACCAAGCCAUGAUUAAGCGCAAGCCUGUCUUUAUUUGGUAAUAAUUUUUCAAAUCUUCCUUUUACCAGUCAGUUGUCAAAGUAAUCACAACUAAGGAAAACAAGCCUAGCUAGCACUAGAAAAAACAACUUUCUUGAACGGGUCCUACAUUUAUGGUCAUGUACUACUCACAUGAAUCGCGAUGUAGCAAAUGUGAGAUGCCAGUUUCAUGAAGUUUUCUCGUAGAUGACAGACCAUAUGAAGUAUGAGCAGCCCUUUGGAUCAUCAAGUUCUAGCAGUUGUGUAAUCCGCAACUCCUUGUUGCCUCCUAUCUGGUCUCUUAAAACAGAAUCGGAAAUGCUUACCUUUUGGUCUUAGUGAACUGAAUAAUCACAUGAUGUUCCAAUCUAACUGGAAAUUAUAUAUUUUGGUAGGAAAAUAGAAUAUGACAACAAAAAUAUAGAUUAUUAACUCUUAAGGUUCCAAUCUAUACAAUAUUCAAUCAAACAUCUAUUCCAAUAAUCAUUAAUGGACUUUAUCUUUGGGCAACAAAAGUGAUCACAUCAAUUUUUCUUUUUCGAUCCACGGAGUAAUCUGUCAUGCAGAAUCCUUUGUCCCAUGUACCUGCACCAGAUACAAAGCAAACAUUAAAAAUGCAGGUUUUAUUAAUUUUAUAUAACAUUUUAUUGAAUAACAAGACUAUCACACAUGUAUAUGUACUUACCUUCCGAGCAUCAUAACAGUAGCUUGAGGAUUAGUACCCGGGCUGCGAUAAAACGUCGAUCCAUCAACAACCCGAAGAGAAUCAAUACCAAGAACCCUAUAUCCUUUAUCAACAACCCUUCCAACUUGACAACCUCCAUGAUAGUGCCAUAUGGUCAUCACAGUGUCUAUGCAGAAUUGUUCCAAAGAAAAUGUAGCGUUGGCAUGCUUUCGCCUUCCGUUAACUGGUAAAGUCAACAUCAGGUUAAUGAGAGCUUCAACCGGCAUGUUUUUGUAACGGAACUUUGAGUAGGCUUCGGAGUUCACAACAUCGAUAAUGGUCCUCAUGCCCUCAAUGCACUUCCUUAAGUCUUCUGGUUCUUUGAAGUAGUUAAAGGUGACAAAUGGAUUGGCAUCAGGGUUUGUGUUCCUCAGCGCAAGAUGGCCUGUGGAGAGUGGACCCAUGAUUUUUUCAAGUAUGACUCCGGCUCUGAGAGUUUUAUUGACAAUUCCGUUUACAGUAUCAGCUGCCCAAGCCAUGAUUUUUGGUGAAGCUCUAAAAGGAUGGUGCUCAGGCUGCAAAUGUGAAACCAAAUUUGAAAUUGUGAAUUGGUUCGUUUUUGUUAUAUCUCUAUCUAUUAAAUAAUCCACGUAAUAAGUUAUUCGGGAAAUAUGUACACACAGAAUCUUUGCAAACAUUUUAUAAAAAAAUAGAGCUAAAGUAUACUAAAGAGAUAUUAAUCUGUAUAAACUAUGAUUUGAAGCCUGUUUAUACAAGAGAUUUUUCUGUGACUGGAAUACGGGAUGUUACACCAUGUAUCCCUAUACAAAUUGUGGGAUAUGUGUGUCAAAAAGUUAAUAACUUAAAAAAUAUAAUUUCUAACCACUUAUAUAAAAACACGUGGUGUACCACCCGUGUUUCGGUCACAAUGAAAAAUUUCUCCUAUUUAUACUAUGUUUAGUUAUGAUUGGUUCUAUCUAUGUGUCUAUAGUUACCAAAAUCGUAAGAGCAUCUUUAACAGCUCCCACAAAUGUAACUCUUCAAAAACAAGUUUGUUGCAUUACGUGGCAAUUUGAAGAUUAAAAUUUGCUACUUCACAAUUUUGUUCUCCAAUAGACUCUAUAAAUUUUAGUAUUAUAAUAUCUAAUAUGAAACAAAGUGGUCUUACGUUGUUUUGUUGUUGUUGAAUUAAUUAAUGGAAUAUCGUGAGAAAAGACACUUUAUUGUAAUAGAAAAAAAUGUUUGAAGAUUUGGUUAAAAACUCUCUAAAUCUAGAGUGUAGUACAAAUCCUAAAUUUGAAGAAUGAGUUAGCAACUCUCUUGGAGCAAGGAAAUCCUACAUGGCUCUACAUAUUUAGUUAAAGUGAAUUAAGUUUUUGGAGAUGCUCUAACCCUACCUAUGGUAAUUGGGCCUGAUGUUGCACAAAUGUAGUUAAAUGCUGAGCCCAAAAAUGCAUAGGCUGGCAAGACAAGAGAACAGAAGUAAGAAAUGGAAACCUGACUCAAGAAGUGCUUAAAGUGAUUGGAAAGCCUAUGAGCCAGAGGAAUGGGAAGGGUCAAUCCGCUAGCUCCUUCAAUGUAGCUUUCAAACUUUGUGAUGCCCACAACUUGAACCAGGGAGACCUCAACUGGUUGAGGUGAGGGAAUGAGCAGAAGAUUCAUUGGAUUAUCCGCCAUUCCCUGGCCGACCAUGGGUUGGUCUGCUACCACCUUGAUGCCGUGAGCUCGGAGAUGGAAGGCGGGCCCCACGCCGCUCAGCAUCAAUAGUUGAGGGCUCCCAAUCGCACCGGCUGAUAAGAUAAUUUCAUUCUUCUUGGAGUUCAUUUUUAGGUAUGCAUAGUGCCUAAUACCGUGUGCAUCUCUAUAAAUCACACCAUAAGCUUGUGGUCUUAGUCUUCCUGCAUAAAAAAAAGUAGUCACACCAUAAGCUAACUACUAAAUAAAAAAACUAUAUUUUGCAAUUUUUUUGUAUAAAUAUAUGAUUUUUCUAACAUUAUUGGUCAAUAAACGCUUACCAGGAAUGUGUCUAAACAAGAUUUUUUGUACACGUGCAUUCAAAUAAACAUUGAUCUUUCUAGGGUCUGCAUACUGAAGCAAAUCUGCAGCUGUGUGUCUAUGUCCAUCUGCAUCAAAAAUACUCCCACCAACUUUAGUCCCAUACAAAUGCUCAUAGGUAAACCUAUUGUGAGGCAAGACUCCCACUUCAAGCAAACCAUCUCUGAAAGCAGUCUCCCACUGCAAAAUCUCCGGUUCAAAAGCCACCACUUUCUCAACCCAUUCAUACGACUGAUUGACCAUUCUCUGGUUCCAACCUACUUCCUUGAUGUAAUGUGUGCUGGCACGCGUGUAAAACCCAGCAUUCACUGCUGAGCCGCCACCCAGCACGCGUGCCCGGAUGUUAUAGACGCCAUCCUCGGAGGUGAACUGCUGGGCUGGGGAUGUGGGAGAGGUGUCCAAAAGAGUGGGGGCAAAUUUGUCAAUGUUGAUUAUGUUCGGAUUGCCAUAAGGCGAGCCGCCUCUUUCCAGGACUAAAACGGUGGCACCGUGAGAGAGAGUGGCCGCUAGCGGACACCCUGCGGUGCCUCCACCAAUGACUAUGUAGUCAUAGUGAACCACUGCUGGGGCUGAUAUUGCUUCUCUAACAAAUGUAUAGUCCGGAGCUGCACACAGAUUUAUAAUAGAAAAGAAAAAUUAACUAAAAUGCUCAUUCAUUUGUUUAAUUUGUAACAACUUACGUGUACAAUAUUCAUACCUUUAUCCGAAUAACAAAUGGGAAGCAACAAGAGAAUUCCAGCAAGAAGAUAAGCUCCAAAAAAUGUGGUACACAUUGUGACCUCUAAUAUAAUUAACUUUCCCCAGAGAUAAUAAAAUUAAUUUUGCAACAUAUAUAUGACGAUCUGGGUGUGUUCUUGAAUUUAAUUACCAAAAACCACACUAGCUACUCACCUUUAAAUAAGCCUAAAUCCCUAAGGUCCAGUGCCCUAACAAACGUUCUUUGUGCACAAAAAGAACGACCUAAAGAUGUAGAUACAUUUUUAGUUGAACAACAUAAAUUUUCACCCACUCAUGGAAAGAAUCAAUGCUCUUCAUACACACCAUUUCCAUUUUUGAUCACUUGCUUAAACCCUAAUUAGUCGCUUCCUUGCACACGAAGCACAGUCGUCGAAGUUAUAAAAUCUCAGAUUCAUGGCCCCAUGCAUGCAGAACAUUAAGUAUUACUGAAAUUUGAGGAAUAUAUAAAGUCGUCACGUAAAAUCGAAAUAUUUAUUAAUGGUAUGAAUUUUGGAUUCUAUUAUUGUCCAAUAUAUUCAACUGCGUGCACCGACCCAGUACUUGUUUUUUCAUGCCUUGAUCGAAAGUUUUUGGUAGCUAGGUCUAAUUAAAUGAAAUUAACUUUUUUGAAGUAGCUCAACUGCACGGAGAGGUAUUGGUUGAAUCUAGUUAAUUCCAAGAUUAUCAAUGGAGGUCCUUUUGCGUAGUCAAUUACCUGAGGACCUGACUUGGUUUCAUUUCCAGAUGUAAAUUCUACUUCUGGAUAAAAAAGUGAACAAAGAAGCAUUAUUUUCCUUUCUCUAGGAGGAAAUUUUGUUGGACAGUUCAUUGAGUUGUAAAUAUAUGACUAAUUGCAAUGUUAGAAUGAAUCAAUAUUAUCCUACUCAUAGUCAACAAUAACUCCGGCACAUUCAUUACAUGGCUUUGGGACGAUGCAUAUCGAGAUUAUACAAAAAGUUUAUUUUUUAUUUUUUAAAUUUAUUCCAGAAUAAAAAACGGCUAGCAAACCGAACUACACAUUAAAACGAUUAUACGGAAUCUAGCCCCCAAUUAUCCUAUAUGCAUUAGGAGUACAUACAACUAAAAAGCAUUAACGUAACGUAAAGGAUUUGCAUAUAAUCCCUAAAUGUUUGGCUUAGAGCUUGUUUUGACGAGAAAAUUUGGGCAUGCCACUUUCUAUGUUGAGAGUGUUAUCUCACAUUAAGAAAAGAAGGGACAUUGAAUGUGCUUAUAAGUAAUUGUGAUAUUCCUUAUAUUGUCAAUUAGUUUUAUACUGAAAUCCUAACUUUUUUUUUAUGGUAUCAGAGCAAAUUGUCUUGCAUAUUAAGCUCAACAGCUACAUGUGCUCCAUGUUACCCCUUUUGUGUUGUCCAUGUGUUAAACUUGAAAAUUAGUUACACGUGUGGAGGAAUGUUGAGAGUGUUAAUCCACAUCGGGUUUGCAUGUGCUUGUAAGUUUUUUUUUUUAAAUCUCGACGAUACGAGGAGAAUUUUAUUGAUAUCGAAAAAAAGGUAUACCUAGUCAGGGGAGAAAUAAACCUAACCCCUCAAAAUGCAAGAAAAAAUGAUAAAAAAUAUAUGAAAAGAAGGGGAGACAUCAACCUUAAACAAAAAUAAUAAAGAUACAAGAAAAAGAAGAGGGGACAUGAAACCUAACCCCUCUAAAGCCCAACCUAAAAGUCUAAACCUGCAAAACAAAACAAGCAGCAUCACAAAGUUAAAAAAAAAAGAAAAAGAUAAGAAAGUGAGACAAUAUAAGUAAUUAAAUUACUUUACAUAUUAUAAUUAAUUUUAUGGUAAAAACUCAACUUUUUAUAUGUUAAAAAAAAUGGUCACCUGUUCAAAAAAAAGAAAAGAAAAGGUCACCUUAUGAAGAAGCUCAUUGGAGACGUUCUCCUUGAAAAUGACUAGAGAUAAUAAAAUCACCGAUCGGUAAUCCAUGAUAGCACUCAAGCUAAAGGUUGAGCUCAAAUUGAUUGGUUUCAAAUCUAUCCCAGAUCUUAUUAUAAGCCCAGGGCCCGGUGUUGUUCAGAAAUGUCCGCUUAUGUGAUCUGUUUUUGGGAAAAAGGAUCAUUUUCGAAUCCCUUCCUUCUAAUCCAUUAAAUCAGGAAAUUUGUGCUAUUGAAAUUUAUCCAACAGUUGAAGUUAUUAUAACUUUUAAAAUGAGCCAUUGUUUGUAGCAGUUGGAUCAAAUUUCAAUGAUACGAAUUCUCUAAUUUGAUGAAUUAAGAGGAAGAGAUCCGAAGAUGAUCUAUUUCCUGUUUAUUGGGACCAUCUGUUUGUUUAUUUAGAGCUUCCCCUCGCAUCGAACCUUUUAAAAAAGUACUUCUCGGUAAAAUCACUUGUUAGGUGCUUUAAAACUACAAAUAUAUUUUGUUAUUUAUUAUUAUUGUUUAGUAAUAUUUAUUUUUGCCUCUUAGAAUAUAAAUGUAUCGUCAAAUAAAACACUCUUAACUACGUAAAAACACUUUGAACUAUUAUAAAAACACUUCUGCAUAAAGCCUUUAACUUCGGAGGAAGUUUGGGUUGAGAUCAUAACAAUCUUAUUUUCUCUUAUUUUUUAAUUUGAUUUGCUUGUUUAUUAGUGUAUACAUUUGGUUAUGGUAUGUUGUAUUUUUGCCUAAGCCAAGUCAACUUUAUCCAUACUGUACUUGGAUGUUUCAAGUGCACAGCACGUCGUUGGUUUUGUUGAGAUUAGGUCAUCAAACAUGUAACAUGAUGACCUACCAAAACUAGAUAAGAUGAUUAAUUUACUGCAAAAUCAUCCACAUUCCACACCCCCAUCACCCAAAUGAAACGAAUUAUAGGGUAUGCAAUAUACCCACGAAACAAUCCACAUUUAACACGUACAAAUGAUAACGUAUGCUCAAUAGUAAAUUUGGAAGCAAUUAGCAAGCAACCAAAGAAUAUAUUUUGCAUUAUGCAUGUAACUAUUAUUUCUUUUUCUUGUUUUUUUUUCCAAAAAUUUUUGUAGAAAAUAAUUAGACGAUAUUAGCUCUUCGUCAACAGUACGAGACACAAACUCUCUCCUGAACGAGAAAAGACAGUUGCACCUAAAAAGCCCCUCACAGCCCCCCUUUACUAGAUUUUUAUUAGAAGUACGAAGAAAAAGAAAAAGUAAACCAAGCGGUGUACUAGCCAAUACCCACUAAAAACAACUAACAAAAACGACAUGUUCUUGAAUUGUUGAACGCUUCAUCAAAGGUAUACCUAAGAGAUAAACAAGAUACGAAAAAGACGUCUAAUUGACAGCCAACAAGCGUUUCUCUGCUACAACGCCUAAAGUAAAGUGUGACGAACAAAGCAGUCGAGCGAGGAAGAGUUAACUUAAUUGGUAAUUGUUUUUUCCAUAAUUAUUUCUUUGAUGUUUAUUACUUUAUGUGCAGUUGCCUCUUUUGAAUAACUGUGCUUGAAAGUCUCUUAUCUGUUCUGUGGCGAGCGGCUUGAUCUAGUUGGCAGUUUCCAAAGGUAUAACUGCUUUGUAGUAAAGGUGGUCAACUCUAGUAUCUAAAUGUUGAGGCUUCCAUCCAUAUAACCCAACUAAUUUAACGCGUUCAUGAAUAGUAUCCGUCGUUUUAAUCUCUAAUUACAUAAUUAAAAGAGAUUUUCUAUAGAAAGAAAAUGAAAGAAACGUUUUUGCAAAGUGAAAUAAUCCUGCAAUCUGUUCGACGGACAUGUCAAUUCACAGUUUUGGUCGAUCAGAUCUAUGGCAUGCAUGUUGAAGCAUAUCUGACAUCUAAUGAAGUUAAAAUAUCUUUUUAGAUAGAAUAGUGCCAGUAUCGCUUGUAUCUAGGCAUAGUAUACCAAAAUAAAAAAAUUUGGUUACCAAUGUAUAGUUGCAUUAACAUGUGGCACAAUAAGGAGCCGUCCUAUAUGAGCUAGGAAGUGUGUUAAAGCAUGUUUCACAUCGAAAACCUUAUGAAAUAAAAUCCUCUUAUAGUGAAUGGUUCUAUUAAUAAUUAAGACCUUAUUAUCCUUCAAAAGAAACAUUAUUGAUUUGGAUUAGUAAUGAAGGGUGUAUCUUAAAUUUUGCCAAUGCAAACCAAAAUACAGUUAUGCCUCUAUUUCAAAAUCCAAAAACAUACUGCAAUGUAAUUACAAACACGUAAAAAUAUUUUGUUAUUUUUAAAAAGUACGCACCUAGUCAGGUUGAGAAAAAAGCUUAUGGUUGCUGUUGAGAGUGUUAAUUCCUCAAGAAAAAAGAAAAAGAAAUCUUACAUGUGCUUUGAAGUAAGUUGAUAUGUCUUUCCCAACUGCAUGCCAUAUCUUUUUCGGCGUUACCUUACUCACCAAACAAUUUAAAAAUCUUUUAAUUGUUUAAAUUAUUAUUUUCUUAUUCAUAAAAUUUGUUCUUUCUUCACCGCAAGUACUCAAGGACCUGUCGUCCCAAUCAGAAAUAGCCAAAGACAAGGGAACUAACAGGAAGAAAACAAAAGGUCGUCAAUUGAUGCAUAUUAAUAAUUAAAAUUAAUCCAAUUUUUUGAACAAAAAAAACUAAUCCAAUUUAAGAAUUCAAUUUUAUGACAUAAGAUUUCCUUAUUAAUGCAAAGAACAAAAGUACUAAAUGUAAACAGUUUCAAUUUCCUUGAUAUUUUUUCUUAUACAGGAUACAUAUUACACGGGCUAUCUGGGCUCAUAGGACACCUGUGAGAGUAAAAAUCUCGGAGCCUAGACACUUAGCCGUAAAUGAAAACAAAAAAUAAAAACAGAAGAGUAUUUGGGUGCUUGUUUAUCUGAAUUUUAAGAAGAAAUUGAAAAAUCUGACAGAAAAUUUAAACUAUCCUAAGCAAUGUUAUCUAUGAUUUUCUAUAUAUGUUACAACUUACAAGCUGCUACUAUGCUACCUGAUGAUCAAAUUGAAAGCUUUGAUUUAAAUUGAUGAUCUAUCUAUGCAGCUGAUCGUUUGGUAGGAGUGAUCUUGAUGACUAGUCCAGGGAAAACAUCAUCCGGAUCAUGGAUAUGAGGGUUCCGCUCCACGAUAUACGGGUCGUCGCACUUGUCACUGAUGGUGUGGAGGGUUUCACCUUCUCCGACGACAUAAAUUUCAUCACACGGCCGGUUGAUCAUGAAGUCAUUGAAGUGUUUCCCUCGAACCGAGUUGUUGUCCGGCGUAGAGUUGUUCUCUCUGAUGGAAGCAAACAAGAUCAAGGCUAAUAGGGCUGUGGCGCAGUACCAUGAGGCUGCGUCUGCCGCUUCUUCUGGUGCCAUAUAAAUUAGGGUUUAGAGAUGAUAGAAGUGAAAAAGAUGAGAUAUAAGGUGAUGUGUUUUUUAUGGAGCAGAAAGAGGUCUGAGUAUUUGUAUAUAUAGGUAUAUGAAUGUGGGGGAGAUAUAUUUGUGUUUAUAUGCGAGGAAGAAAGACAGGUUUUUGGUUGGUUGUUUGCGUUGGGAGGAUGUCGGGUUCAACGUGGACUUGGAUACAGUCAUCACCUUCCUUGGCUACUACUGAUUGAAUUAAUGCAAAACGACAUGAUUGGUUUCUGAGGUUUUAUUCAUUUGGAUUCUAAUUUUUUAACAUUUUUUUUGAAUUUGAGAAAGAACCUUCCAUUUGGUUAGGGCAAUUAGAAUAGAUUUUUAGAGGGGCUGCAACUAAGGGGGUGAACAAGAAAUAUAUGUGAGUCAGUGUGGAUGCUAGAUAACCAUACGAUUCUGCAAAUAUAAGGUGCUAAGAUGAGAGGGAUCAACGGUUCACAAUUAAAUAUACUGAUAUUUUCUCUUAAUUUUAUCUUAUUUAAUUGUCAAUUGUCUAAUUAGAAUCUUAUAGGGGUGUGAUAUCCACACACCCCUUUUUACUUCUCUCACACCUUUUUUAUUUUCAGCCGUCGGAUCGGAUGAAUUGAAGAAGAUCAACGGACAGAAAUUAACAAAAGGUGUGUGAGAAGUAAAAAGGGGUGUGUGUAUAGCACACCCCAUCUUAUAUUAUUCAGUAGAAGUAGCUAUGAAAUAAUAUUUCUAUAUACAAAGGGAAAAUUUUAUACAUAAAGCCUAGCUAAUUAAAAAAAUAGUAUUAUGGGAGUUUUUGUAAUUGAAAAUUUUAAUUUAAUAAUUAAAAGAAUUAAAGAAAGGUAGUGGCGGAAAAUGUGGGGUGACAAAUAGUGUGGAAGAAAAAGGCAAAUAGCGUGAGGAAUCGGAGCCCUUCCCCACCCACCACCUAUAAAAAACCUGUAACUAUCAAGUCAUCAAGCAACUAACCCAAAAAGAAAGCUUCACAUUUAAUGCUUUACAAUGACUAGGGAGUAGGAAGCCUUUGACAUUUUUGCACCAAAAGGGUCCUUGAGACUUUUGGACUUAGACUGGUUUGGUAAUGAGGUGCUUAAAAAAAAAAACACUCAUAAAAAAAAGCUGUGAGGGUUUUAGGUAUUUGGUAAAUUGAAAAAAAUUGGCUUAUUUUGGAAGUUGCUAUGAGAAUAAGCUGAAAUCAAAGGAAAAAACGGAAGCUGUUAUUUGCAGCUUUGGAAAACUGGUUUUUUUUCAAAGCACACGGAGCUAUAGUGCUCCUUUAAUGAAAAGACCCACUAUCAGACUGCCUUUUUUUUCCAAAAGCACUUUUACAAAAAAGUUUACCAAACACUCUGCUGAUUUAUUUCACAGCCACUUAUUCUCACAGCACAACCGCUUAUUCUCACAUCAGUUUUUUUUCAAAGCACAGCAAUACCAAACCAGCCCUUAGCCUCCUUGCGUGCUCCAAAUUCUUGGCGUAUUGGACCAGCUGACCCAGUCGCCUCCUCAAAGAAAAAACUUGUGAAAGGGUGUCUCGAUUAUGUCAUUUAUACAUCACUUUUCAUAAAAACAUAAUAUUUUGUAUAUUUUGUUUCAUUCAAGAUUAAUAUCACAUAAUCUUCACUUGAUUUUAGAGUUGUCAUAUUCAGAUAGCAUUGUCGAACAUAUUCUUCUCUCCUCUAUAGUAUAAUUACGAAUGAGCAACACAAGAGCCAAACUAUAUCAUCUUUCUCUUUCUUUCGUUUUAUUAGGGGGUGUGAACCGGUGAACCAAUUUAAAACCAUCAUUCCCGAUUUCCCGAACCCCCAACUAAACCUAGAGAGGAAAGGUUUGACAUUUUAUACGGAUGCUGUAGAAGCAUCCAUGAAUACGAUUGAGUUUUAUCUGAGGGAAUACAACACGGGAUCAUUUCCUCGCUUUGCAUCAAAAGUUUACGUUCACAGUUGGAAAAUGGGUACGAUUAACUAUGUAAGUUUGGCGAUUAAUUAUGUAAACCCAGGAAAGCUAGCGGCUGGUAGUGUAAAUAUUCAGCCACAAAAUUUAUGGAGGGUUUAUUUGUUUGGUAAAGUGGUGAUCCUCAUUCUAUUUGAAUUUGAGAUUUGACUACAAUAUUUACAUAUAUUGAAUACAAUCACCAUCUCAAUGGUUAGAUGAUAAUUAUAUAAAAUACAUAUAGUCACUUAAAUAUUUAUGACCGGUAGAUAGUGAUUGUACUAAACAUGUAAGUAUUGUAGUCAAUCCAGCCAAAUUGAAAUUGAAUAACAAAUUUUCAAUAGUUGGUAAAAUAUUAAUUUGAUUUUUACGUUUUUCCUCUUCUCUCAACUCAAUUGACAGGAUCAAGAUUAAUAGUGAAGGCUAGUGAGCUAUUGAGGCCCUUAGUACGGACAUGGUUCCUCUCCGGGUCUACGUAUCCUAAUCUACCAAAUCCAUGUAUUUGAGCCAUUGAAAUUUGAUCUAACGACUACAAACAGGGAUUCAUUUUAGAAGUUAUAAUAACUUUAGCUAUUAGAUCAAAUUUUAAUAGUCCGGAUACAUGAAUUUGAUGAAUUAGGAUACAUGGAUCCGGAGAGGAUCCAUGUCCCCUUAGUCCUACCAACUUCAGCACAUAGCAGUUCAAUACAAAAGCAGCUAAAUGAUACUACUUUAUCGCAGGACGAUUUCUUAAAGAAAAAAAAUGAUUUCCCAGCUCAUUUUUUGCGUGCUUAAGUAAAAGUAGAGUGAGAAAACCAUUGCAUAUUUUCAUUGAAUCAAUAAACAAUUACAUCAACGGUACAUUCUCAAUUUAGGUAUGAAAUCCAAACAAUGAAGAGGAAAAAGAGCUAAAAAAUGGGCAGUAUAUAUCCAGGACCAUUCCAAGCUUUCAGUUACUUAAAUAGCAACUCUAAAUCAACAGGGAAGGGAAACGUCUAUUGUAUGAAAGCCUUAUUUUUACUUUGCAAAGAGACUAUUUUUAUGACUCGAACCUAUAACCUUACAAUGACAAAUGAAAACAUUAUUGCUAUUUAAUUAGAAGUGAGUUCACGUGUGAUUUGUUUAGUAAAAUUACAGAGUAUCAAGUAUCAACAAGUUGCAUUUGGACAUAGCUUACUUUUGAGGGAACGUAAGUAAGGCGGAAGUCUCAUGUAUAGAAACCAGGGUAGCUUAUCCUCCCACACGACAUGGAUAUAUAACUUUGUAUAUUCAUGGCGGCCGUCCAACUUGGCAAUCAAACAACCCAUUGGACGAUUCUCUAGAAAUUGGUACGUCAAAAGGGAAAGGGAUCCUCUCCGGAUUCUUUUCCACCUAAUUCACCUAGUUCAAGAUUCGGAUCGUUUGAAUUUGAUUAAACGGCUACAAAUAGAGGAUCCUUUUAAAAGUGAUAAUAACUAUAACCGUUGAUCAAAUUUCAACGGUUCGAAUCCCGAACUAAAUGAAUUAGGUGAAAACAAAUCCCGUUAAAAGUCCUAUAUAGGGGCAAGUCGGACUAGAAAUUUCCACCUCGAUCUCAAUAAACAAGCUGAAUUAUAUAACCACCAAAUAUUAGUUUUGUUUUAUCCAUAAACAUAAGGAUAUGUUAAUUUCUAUUGUACACAUAAAAAUCAAAAGAUCAUUCAGACAGUAUAUAUCAUUAGCCAAAACUGAUUAGUACAUUUGGAACACACAAUUAAAGUCUUUUAGCACGACGAUAACAAUUUCAUUAUAAUAUUAUAUUGAUAUAAAUAUUAAAUAAGAUGUUUUGAAUAACAGUUAUGAUGUUCUCAAACUUCAACAAAACAUAAAAGGCAAACUUGAUCAAAUUAAUUGUCAUCGUAGUCGAUUUAGGACGAUGAGAAAUGCUAAAGAGGUUUUCUCAAAGUGAGGUUCUUCAUGAAUUCUCCGCCACCUUAUAUUUUUGACACAAUUCAUGUGCCAACAUUAUAAAAAUGUACCAAAAACAUGAGAUGGCGGAUAGUUUAUGGCGACUCCUACUUUGAGAGUCUUCUUAGCAUUUCUCUUAGGGUGAUAGGUACCCUUAUUUGGAUUUGGUGUCAUUCCCUAAAGAGAAAUGUUUUUGGCACAAUGUGUCUCUCUAUGAACUCUUUGCCACUUCACAGUUUAACGUUAAUUCUUGUGCCAACAUUAUAAAACAUUGUGCUAAAAACAUGAGGUGCUGAAAAUUCCAUAGAGAGCCUUACUUUAAGAGAAUCCUUUUAGCAUUUCUCUUCCCUAAAUCUGGUGUCACCAUCCACAAUUAUUUAGUAAAUAAUAUCUUAGACAUGACAUGGUUAUCCAAUUGCAAUCAAGUAAGUGAUGGGACGCAAUAUAAACACAUUUUUAUCAAAAUCACAUUUUUACACUAAAAAGUCAAUCUUGAUACUAUUCAUUUUAUCUUUUUUUUUUCCUUAUCGUUAAAACUCAAAGUUUUCAAGUUAUUUUUAUUAGUUUUCCUUUAUAUCAAUUGGUGACCUUAGUCUUGAUGUCAAUUAUCCUCCAAACAUAUUUCAACCACAUUUUAGCACUAAAACAAUAUUGUGAAGUGACAUCUUGGUAUUAAUCAUUUCUAUCUUCCACGACAGUAUGACACAAAUUUCCAAUUGGUGUAUAAUUGCGGCUACCUAAAUGGGUGACUGCUAGAUUAUAUUUGUCAAAGCACAAGCCGCAGUGUCAUGAAUAAACCAGCGGCCUUAAAAACUUGAGAAAUGAUGAGAACAUUCUUUUAAAAGUGAGAUUUUUUGUCACUUUAUGUAUUUGACAUAAUGUUUUGUAACGUUGACAUAUAAAUUGACGUUAAACUGUGAGGUAGUAGAAGGUUUAUGAUAAAUCUCACUUUGAGAGUCUUCUUAACAUUCUUCUAAAAAUUUUGUUGCAUUAUAUAUAAUGUGGUUUAUGGAAGAUGAUAAAAGAUGGAAGUAAGAAAUUUUGUGUUAUGCACCAUGUUUAUAAUUUUGAGGAGAUCAUAAUGUAUAAGUUUCUUUAACAAAUAAUUCAUUUUCCAGUUUGAUAAAGUUCAUAAUGGUAGUUCAUCAUUCCGAAAUCGAGAAGACACUGAGGCAUUUCAGUCUCUUUGUGGCCACCAUCGUGUGUUCACUAACAUCAGAAAUCGAACCCAUAAUGUGCCAUAUGAAAUACGAGCCUGAAAUUUGUCAACCACUAAUCACCCCAUGGUGGUCCAUUUAUUUCUUCAUUCAACAAAGUGGAGUGGUAUUGUGUAUAUGACGCUAUACCUAGUCUAAGUCGCAUAGAAAGGGGCACCAACAUGGUACUCUUAUCAGUGGACAUGUAUUAUGAUACUUUCUGUUACAUUUUUUUUAUUGAAGCAAUAUCUUAUUGUUAAUGUAUUGAUAACAUGUACGUACAAUUUUUACAUUACAAUGAUGUAAAGGGCAUAUCGACUUUGUGUUUCAUAACUUGGAUAUUUCAGCCUAUCAAGUUGGUGGCAGCAGAGAGGUCCAUGGCAUGUAAACAAGCACUAGCCCAUGGUUUAUAGUAGGGGAUCUUGCUGGGCCAAGUUUGGACCCAAAUAUGUUAAUUAAUUGUUAAUCGGUCAAUAUAUUAAGCCCAAGCUCAAACAAGAUGGAAACACCACUGGCGGCAAGGUCGAUGAACAACUUCGACUUUUGCCUCUAAUCCGAUUCAAUUUUAACCAAAACCAACGCCGAUACUCAUGAAACUCGCAGCACUCAUUACGCGCCACUUCACCACCUCUACGGCGGUUCAAAAAUCAGAGCGAGUGGCCACCGGACCAAGCACUUUGAGCUCAACCAAAGAGCUUCACGCACACCUUAUCAGAACCCACCUCCAUAAUGACCCAUCAUCUUACAUCUCCGCCGUAUUUAAACAAAGCCCAUUUAGUAUUCGAUCAAAUUGAGCGGCCCACAUUCUUGGUUUGGAAUUAUAUGAUCCGUGGAUGGAUUGUCACAGAGUGAGAAACCAGGUGAAGCAAUUCACAUGUCUCAUAAUAUGUACCUUCAAGGAUUGGCCGGGAAUCCUGUGACUUUUAUAUUCAUUUUCAAGGCUUUGUGCUCGAGCUUCUGAUAUUGGAAAUGGGAAAAGGGUCCAUGGCCAUGCGUUCAAACUUGGGCUCGAAACGUAUCUUUUUGUAUCCAAUGCAUUAAUUCACAUGUGUGCGUAUUGUGGUGGUUUGGGUUUUGCGCAGAAACUGUUUGAUGGAAUGUGGGAGAGAGAUUUAGUCUCUUGGAAUUCUUUGAUAUGUGGAUAUAGUCAGUGCAAUCGGUUUAAUGAGGUUUUGGGUCUAUUUGAGGCAAUACAGGCAGCGAAUGUGAGGGCUGAUGCGGUGACGAUGGUGAAAGUUAUUUUGGCAUGUAAUUACUUGGGUGAACGGAAAUUUGCUGAUUCUGUGGUUAAGUAUAUUGAAGAAAAUAUGUUAGGAUUGAUGUUUACUUGGGAAGGCGUGAUUUGGCGAAUUUGGCUCGGGAAGUAUUUGAUCGGAUGGGUGAAAGAAAUAUAGUUUCUUGGAAUGCCAUGAUCACAGGAUAUGCGAAAGUGGGAAACUUUGUUGAUGCAAGAAAGCUUUUCAAUGAGAUGCCGAAGAGGAAUGUGGUGUCUUGGACUUCCAUGAUCACUUGUUACUCUCAAGCUAACCAACAUUCUGAGGCGGUGAGUCUUUUUCAAGAAAUGAUGGCAGCUAAUGUGAGACCGGAUGAAAUAGCCGUGGCUAGUGUGCUUUCUGCUUGUGCCCAUGUUGGUUCACUUGAUGUGGGAGAGACUGUCCACCACUACAUAAAAACGCAUGGUGUGAAAGUAGAUGUUUAUGUCGGAAACGCUUUGAUAGAUAUGUAUUGCAAAUGUGGGGUGGUUGAGAAGGCAAUGGAAGUGUUCCAAUGGAUGGAAAAGAAGGACUCUGUCUCAUGGACUUCGGUAAUUUCAGGCCUUGCUGUCAACGGUUUUGCAGAUUCUGCACUCGAAUGUUUCUCGCGGAUGUUGAGAGAAGGUGUUCAACCAACUCAUGGAACGUUUGUUGGGAUUUUUUUAGCUUGCGCUCAUGUGGGAUUGGUAGAGAAAGGAUUGGAAUAGUUUGAAAGCAUGGAGAAGAUUCAUGGACUGAUGCCAGAAUUGAAACACUAUGGAUGUGUUGUGGAUCUUUUGAGCCGCUCUGGCAAACUAGACAAAGCAUCUGAGUUUGUACAAACUAUGCCUGUUGGACCAGGUGUUGUAGUAUGGAGGAUAUUGCUGAGUGCAUGCAAGAUUCACGGGAAUGCGGCCCUAGCUGAGAUUGUCACAGCCAAGCUUGUAGAACUGGAUCCUUCCAACAGCGGAAUUACAUUCUCUCAUCGAGUACUUACUCAGGUUCAGAUAGAUGGGAUGAUGCUAUGAAAAUGAUAGAAUUGAUGGGUGAGAGAAAAGUGCAGAAGCCAUUUGGUCGUAGUUCCAUCAAAAUAGAUGGCAUAUUUUCGAACAACCCUCAAGAGUCGGGACUGAUCACCUGAAUGCAUAUGAUUAUUAGCAUUAUCAAUUAUGUGCUCAGCAUCGGAUUGACACGGUUGGUCUUGGAACAGAAGAGAGGCAAGAAACCAUUGUGUACUAUUUACACCUUCAUGAGAUCUCGGCUCCACAGAAUAGUAGCAGCUAUGCGGAAACGACAGUAUGACUGACAGCAUAUGUCGUGUGGAGGACAUUAUAAUAGAUGCAUAGUCAUAUGCGAACACCCUUCACCUGUGGUAUUCAUUAGUGGGUGUUUGCUUACGUCUAUACAUUCAUAUUAUAACACGUAGAUUAGUAAUAUUGUGCGGUGAUGAAAAAAAUGUUGACAUAUAAGUUAGCCUUAAUUACAACCAAUCUAGAGGUUUUCAAUGCAUACGGCUUGUCGUAUGCGCUCAUAUUAUUCUCAUAUUGUUCCAUACGGUUGUAAAUAUUAUAAAGAGAGAUUAAUUUGUCAAUUUAAAAGCUUGCUAUGUUAGAUGACAAGCCUUUAUCAUUCCCUCCUAGGGCCACCUAGGUGCUAGGGGGCUGGUCGUCGUCUCGAUUAAUCUCUAGGCUUCUGAAAAUUAAGAAAUGACACCUAGACCUGCCUAAGCACUCAUAUAGGUUGAGACUCACCUAGAUAGACAGAUAACUUUCAUUUUGUAUUUUAUUUUUUCAAUAAAUAAACCAACUAAUCUAUAUGUGUGUUCCUAUGUUUUCAGUAUGUUCCAAUACCUCAUAAUCUAUAUGUCAUUUUAUAUUGCAAUUUAUAUAUCACAAUACAAUUAUGUACUUUUUAAGUAUAAUAAAAUAUUAAUUUUCAUGUUAUAUAAUAUAUUAAUUAAAAUUAAAAAAAAACCGUCUACGUCCCACCUAGAUGCCUAGGCGUUAAAUCUUUGCUUGCCGCUUGACUAACGUGUUUUAGAACCUGAUGAAAUUGCAUGUGAAUCAUUCUUCACCCUUAUGCCUUUUGUUCUUUUCUUUUAAUAAGUCAAUGUCCAUUUCAUAUCACAAAGCUACAAGAACCAUAAUUUAUUAAUAAUUCAGAAACUUAGCGUAGUUCCUAUCGUAUCAUAAAUUGCCGUAUACCUAUCUUAGACAACUAUUAUAAACCGACAAGAACAAUAAGCUAUCAGAAAUUGAGCCGAACAACGUAUAUCAAGAUAACAUAUAUUCUGCAAGAUAUAUACAAUACAACAAUGAAUAGACCUCGCAUAAGGUGUUAAAAAAUAAACCAACUAUAUAUGUCACGCCGCUGCACUACGUCUACCAACUAAUUAUUAAACCAUAUAGUAGGAAUCCUUAAACACAUUUGACUAAUAAUUAAGGUUACAUCAUUAAGAAAAGGCAACAAAACGAGCAUUAUCUCAUAAGCAUGCAUCCUUGCUUCCACUCAAAGUAGGGCAUUUGAAAUAUUAUUAUUUAGGGUUUGGCAUCAUGAGAAACAGUUGGUGCCGACUCGUAUCUGACUAGACACUAGCGUGGCAUACAUUACCCCUUAUUAUUGUUAUUUGUGGAAUCCAAUUAUUGACCGUACUAUGACAGUUUUGCAGAUUUAAAUCUCCCAAUCUUCGGGGACCAUCGUGUGGGUGGGAUUCAACUGUUUCAGAAUAUCAUCCCAUAUAUUAUUCACGUGGAUGUUAGUCAGUGCGAGGUGUGCCGCAAAACCUAGGCUGGCAAUAGAAGGACUUAUGGGUGAAGAAUGAUUUGUAUAUGAAACGAGAAUGUAAAACUAGUUGUAUCUUAAAUCAUGCAUACAUUGCCAUGUAGAAAGACAUGCAACGCCAUAUAGAUGACAUACAACUCCAUGUAGGAUACUCAAAUCACGAAGCGUAUUAUUUUUUUGGGAUGUUACAUGAAAAAUCUAAAAUAAAUGAUUUCCAGGAUGCUAUGAUGACAUUUUAAAAGAGAAGGAAUUAUAGAAAACAGAAAUGUGUCAGCACCUGAGAGGCCAUUCUCGUGUUGAGUUUGUUGAAUCUUGUGUUGAGUUUGUUGAACAAACGAAAUUAUCUACAUUAAAGGAGAGAUGAUGGGCUUAGCCUCACAAUGAGUUAGCAAUAAUGUGGUUUAAAUUAGUCUUUGUCGAUAAUCAAACUUAAGACCUCUCACUUACAAGUGAAGCGGAAUACCAUAAGACCGUAGUACUAAGUAGCUCUCGUGUUGAGUUUGUGACACUACUGAAUCGCUCUCAUUUCAGACAUUCUAGCUGGCUAGGGUUUCAACUUUACCUAAGCAACUCCCCCCUAUAAACCUGGCAGCAGAGAGAAAACAUCGAUCGAUCUAUUGGAUAUAAUGAAAAAGUUAAUUUUCUUGUUUGUAAUUAAAGAGUUGAUAUUGGAUAAUUUGGUGAUAGCAUCACUAGUUAAAGAAAAAUCAGGAUUAUUAGGAUAAUUAGGCCUAAUUAGGUGAAAUAUUCAAAUUUGGGUCAAAGAAAAAUGAGGUAUUUGAUUUGUAUCCUUUUUUCUUAGAAGAAGCGAUAACGGUAUAACGUUAAGAAAACAUACAAUCUUUAAGAAAGACAUUAUAGAGUAACUUUGGAGUUAAAUUGGUGAAUCAGCAUGUUUUUUCUCAUUGGAUAGUUUUUGGAUAACCAUUAUAUUUAAUCAAUAAAAUUCUCCCUUUUUGUUCCAAAAAUUAAUAAGAGGACUAUAUUGCAAUUAUCCUAAAUGAUCUCACAUAUCAAAUCAUCCCAUAUUUGAGGUAAUUACUUCAAAUAUGUUUCUUGUUUUGGUUGCAUCAUCCAAAUCAUCUUUCAAAGCUAUUAAAUUACUAAUCAAAUUAAGUUCUAUGUGGGGACAACAUGCAAGGAUGAUACAGACGAGAACUUACGUGAAUCUGACUCUGCAUUUCGUGGAAUACACUCACCAGAGUUCUGAAUAUCCGUUGAGGAAAAUCAUGCAUGCAUAUUGUGCUUGCCUUAAUUCAGUUACUUCCAAAAAGGCACAAUUUUAUCCUCGUUUUUGUGUACUCUGGAAAAAUUAGUUAUGCUUAUUUUUAGCUACACCAUCUAGCACACGAUUCAAUCUUAUUUUGUUAUAUGUAACUCAAAAGUCACAAUUUUAUUAUCUGAAUCUCAAAAUUCGCUUCACUUUACCUUCUGAAAUUUGAUUUUGAUCUUAGUUUGCCUCUUGAAACUUGCAGUCGUCUCUAGGAAACUCAAAAUUCGCUCCACAAUGCCUUAGAUCUGUUAGUUUCUUAUGUGGGUAUGACUUGGAUGAGCUAGACUAAUCAAAUUUUAUUUUAUUUUCUUCAUCUCUUCAAUUUCUUUUAAACUGAAUAUUCUCUGAUUGUUUAAUGAUGACGCGUAAUGGAGGUUUAUAAUCAAAUUUAUUGCACAUGUGACAUAACUUAUUGGGUGUUGGAUCUCAUGUAUGUUUUAGGAGGCAACCUAGAAGUUUUAGGGAGAAGAGAGAGUCGACAAGUCAAAGUGGAAUGAAUUUUGAGUUUCAAGGAGUAAAGUGGUCACUUUUAAGUUACAUGGGGUAAAGUCAGAUUAAAAAGGAAUUUCAGGGGACAUAGCUAAAAAUAAGCCAAUUAGUUACUACUUAGUGGUAUUUGUGGGAAAUUUUUCUGUGUAACUGUAACAUAAUUUGGUGUAGCAAUAGUUAUAUUCGUAUUGUGUAUGAAUAACAUCACGUGACUGUAAUACUCGAAAUUUCUUGUAUGUGAGGCAUAGGAAAGGAAACUAUGAUCCCAAAUUCGUUGCCCAUAAAUGAGGAGUAUAUGCAAACUGUGAUGUAACAGUCUAACAAUGGAGAUCCCAUUUUGCAAAACUAUAAUAUCCAUGGGGUUCUAGUUUUACGGGAGUGCUAGCAACUUUUGCACUAACCUUUGUAAUUGGAUCAUUUCACUGUACCUAUCAUUUUCUUAUGGAAAAACAAAAUGUUAAUGCGUAUGUGUCUUUGACAAAGAAUUAAUGAUGAAAAAUAAAAAAAUAAAAUCUCAAAUACAUUAAAGGUCUUGUUUUUGUGUAAAAAAAAAAUACACUUGUUACUUGAAAAAUGAAAAGAUUCAAAUACAAAAGUUGCUAGAAUUUCUCUUCAAUUUACACCUUAUUUUGAGACAACUUUCAAAAUAGCAAAUGUAGCGAUAUCUCAAGUUUAUAUCGUGCUAUUAUGUCGUUAGCAUUAUCCACAUAAGGGUUGAAAAUUCAUGUCCGGGAGAAACUUAGGUCCAAAAUCCCAAUACGGAUGAAAAUUCCCCAAGAAAUAGACGAAUAUAUCCAAAAAGUGUGAUUGUAUGCUUUUAUUUAUGGCAAAUUUGUGCAUUCGAUGAGGACGAAUCACCUACGUAUAAAUCCAAAGUAGAUAAUACUUUGGUUUUGGAUUAUUCUCGAUAGUGGGUAUAAAUAUAUGCAUAAUUAGAAUAUACCGUAAAUGUAUUUAUUGGGUGCUCUAUAAUUUCUAUAUUGCAACUUGACACGAAAUCUUAUUUUAUAAUUCCAUAAGCUUGCUUGCUUUCAACCCUAGUAUAAAUAUUACACCAAGAACCGCUCUGUUCCCACACAAAAAAGAAACCUCUCCGUGCCUGCCUUCUUUUAUUUUGGGUGCAAUUUACUCUGUAUAUUUCAAUCACAUAAAAAAGCAAGCAAAAAAUGGGUAAGGGAGGCAAAGCUGCUGAGCCAGAAAACAUGGGUGCUUGGCUUCUUGGUGUUAACAACAUCAAGAUCCAACCUUUCAAGCUUCCCAGUGUUGGUAUGCGCCUUCCCUAAAUAUUUUAGUUUCGUCAUAGUGUUCUUUCGGUUUUUUGUCUUCAGUCGAGAUAUUUAUGAUCAUAAUGACUUACAUCUCGCACCAUUUUCUUGGGAUUUCUUAAUUUAGGGGUCCAUGAUGUUCGAGUUCGGAUCAAGGCUGUCGGCAUUUGUGGAAGUGAUGUUCACUACCUCAAGGUUCAUCUCCCUUCCAUGUCCUUUCCCCUGUUUUUAAUAUCUAUGGAUUUUUAAAAUUUUAUUUUUGUUCGUUUUAGAUGGCAUUGUUCAUUCCUGAAAUAACAAUGAAACCAAAGUAGGAACGUUGAUAAUUUUCUCUGUUAUAUCCAACAGAUCAGUACCUAAUCACUGUGUUUUUUUUUGGUUUUUUUUUUUUUUUUUUGCAGACCAUGAAGUGUGCAGAUUUUGAAGUUAAAGAGCCAAUGGUAAUUGGCCAUGAGUGUGCUGGGAUCGUUGAGGAAAUCGGGGCCGAGGUGAUGCAUCUCGCUCUGGGCGAUCGUGUGGCAGUAGAACCUGGAAUCAGCUGCACACGGUGCCAGCAGUGCAAAGGUGGAAGGUACAAUCUUUGCCCGGACAUGAAGUUUUUUGCCACCCCUCCGGUUCAUGGUUCCUUGGCAAAUCAGGUAAAAAUGUACACAAUAAUAAAAUUUUAUAGGCUUUGCGCCAGAUUGAUAUUGUAUUAUCACAUGCAUUAAUUAGGCUUGUGUAAUAACCAUUUCGUUUAACAGAUUGUGCAUCCUGCGGAUCUGUGCUUUAAGCUCCCGGAGAAUGUGAGUUUGGAGGAAGGGGCAAUGUGUGAGCCCUUGAGUGUUGGGGUUCAUGCUUGCCGGAGAGCCAAUGUGGGACCGGAAUCAACUGUCCUGAUCAUCGGAGCCGGCCCCAUCGGUCUGGUUUCGGUGCUGGCUGCCCGUGCAUUUGGGUCACCCAGAAUUGUCAUUGUGGAUAUGGAUGACCAGCGUCUAGCCAUGGCGCAGUCUCUCGGUGCUAAUGACACUGUCAAAGUUUCGACAAAAAUGGAGGAUUUGGAUGAUGAAAUUGCCCAGAUUAAGACAGCCAUGAAAUCCAACGUGGAUGUGAGCUUCGAUUGUGUCGGUUUUAACAAAACCAUGUCAACAGCUCUUGGUGCCACCCGUCCCGGCGGCAAAGUUUGCCUUGUCGGAAUGGGACACGGCACGAUGACAGUCCCACUUACUCCGGCUGCUGCCAGGUACAAAGCGAUUCCAUUUCCUGUCCUUUUUUCUAGCUUUCUCGAUAAAAUCGAAUCGACCCCUAUCUUGUCCUACAUCAAUAACUUAAGUUUUUAGGCAUUGUGGAUCAAAAGUGUAACUGCAAGUAUACGCUUAUUAGAUAAUUAGGGUUUUCUCGCCUUAUCUGAUAUUAGAGUUUUGUCUUUUGAACACAGGGAGGUUGAUGUUGUUGGAAUUUUCCGGUACAAGAACACAUGGCCUCUUUGCCUCGAGUUUUUGAGAAGUGGGAAGAUCGACGUGAAGCCGCUCAUUACGCACCGCUUUGGGUUUAACCAAAAGGAGGUGGAAGAAGCAUUUGAAACCAGUGCCCGUGGGGGAAAUGCCAUUAAGGUCAUGUUUAUUUUGUGAAAGAUGAGUCACGAGUUGGUGAAUUUCGGACCCUUGAGAGGACAAGUUGUGAUGGCUCGGAAUAUCGGAAGUUCAUCAAUCUCUGAUGAGAAAUGGAGAUGCAAAACUUGUUGAUGUACAGAGAUCAUAUACCUUCAAUAAACCUCAGCUCCGCUAGUGUUUUUUUUUUAAUGUUUUAAUUUUUUGUGAUCUUACUUUUUACAUGAGUCUUUCAAUACCUAUGAACUAUAUAUGUAAGAUGAUGCCUAAAGGUUCUUAACUACGAGGCAUAUUAUUAUUAUUUUUUGACACAAAUGGUUUUAUUUAACACAAGGCUCAUGGUUGUGGUGUAGGGCUUCUCCCAUUUCUUUGAAUCCUAGAUGUUCUACAAAAAUAGCCACAUACUCUUGGCCACAUUGUUGUUAACAUAUAAAUAUCAUUUAACUCGUCAAGGAAAAUGAGGAAUUCAAAACUUUGGACUUCUUUCAGCAUUAGGAAGAAGAGAACCAUCAAGCUAAGAGUUUGUCGGUGCCUCGCAUUUUAGUUGAUGAUAAACCUCAUUCGUGAAUGGAGGAUUAUGGGGUAACCAAAUGUGACUUAUGCGCGAGUUAGGUUAACCAAAAUGCAAUCUAUAUUAGCAUUCAAAGAGACUUGGCCGCAGUGAUUUUAAUUGAUAAAUAUAAAUGAACUUGUCCAUUUAAAAUUGUAGUAUUUUUAUCAACAAAAAAGGACGAGUUCAAGUUCUGGACCUCUUCUAAUAUUACGAAUAAAAGUAUCACUAGACUAAAAGUUAGAUGGUACUUCGUGUUUUAUUUUUUGGUCAAGUGGCUUCAUACAUAGAUGCAUCGUGAGGAGGAUUAUGAGAGAUACUUACAACGCGAUCGAGGAGGAUUAUGAGAGGUACCAAUAACGUGACCCAUGCACAAGUUAGGUAAAGAAAAGGUAAUAAAUGAUGUAGAAAGAAAAAAAAUUGAAAGGGACCCUUAAAUAAUAUCUCCCAGCUAGGAUAUGUUGUAGAUGCAGGAGGAUCCUUGCCGGAUCUUCUUUGUGAGAAUCUUAAGGAUCAUUUAAUCACAUCCGUUCAUCGUAUAUCAUCCAGUCAGAAAUGAUUGUAAAUUUUUUUAUUUAAAUUUGAAUAUAAACAGUACCUGACAAAAACUGACGCAUAAUGUACGAUGAAUGGAUGUGAUUGGAGGAUCUCUAGGAUCCUUACAAAGAGAAUCCGACGAGAAUGCUCUCUCGUUGCAGACAUGCUCAAAAUAACUUCCAACUUCCAACUUCCAAGCAAGAAAAGUGACAAACCAUGUAAAUAUUAUAAUGCGGGACUUUCCCUAAUUGUAGUAGAUCAUAUAAUGACUACUCACCAUCCUUCAUCUUCAAAACAUGGUGUGGACAUGACAUCUAAGUCUUUCCCAAGCCUGAGGUAAAUAUUUUUAGCAAAUGUGGUUACAUGUCUUUUCAAGCAUUGUAAGUGUUUUUUUAAUUUUUCGGUUAGUAAAAAUAUACUUGGUCUCUUGCAUUGGUAGAACUGUAUAGAUAUCAUCAAUGCAUUUCUUGUCAGAUGACACUUGAUAUUCAUCAAGCUGCAAAACAGAACCAUUUCAUCUGUAAACUUCCAAAUGACAUGGAUUAGCUGUGUACUUUGAAGCAACGCCACUUCGGGAAAAAUUGAAGAAAAUUUCAUCAUCACAACUCCGUUUCUUAAUUCAAACACAUCCAUUCACAUGUAUAUUUUGUUUGAGCUGGUCAUUGCAAGGGACUCCAAGCAUUUUAUCAGUCAUCCCAGCUAUCCCAAGUAAUCUCAGUAAUUCAAGAGAUCAUGUGCAAUGUAACCCUCAACCCUGCGUAAUUAAUGGCUACUACCCAACGCAGAUUGACACGUACACACCAUGCCAUAUAUGUGUGUGACCGAACACGAUAGGAAAACAGCAUCAGUAGUCAUUUACACAAGAUGAGGUGAAUAAAGCAUUUAGCCACCGAUACUUGUGUUCGUGCAUGGUGCAUGUUACUUAGAUAAUGCUUCAAAAUCUCCGGGUGUUGAAGAGAACCUUGAUACUAGCUCUUUACGAGUUCAUGAUGCUUCUCUUCAAUGGUUUGUGCAAACUCAAGAUUUAUCUACUCCAUAUGCCGGUUCAAUGAAGGGGCAGCUAGCCUGUAAGGCGAUUCCCGGCAUAAUAUAUAUUGAUCUCUCAACAAUCCAAAAGCAGCCAGAGGGAAGGGUAGGAGAUGACAGUUCCAAUGACCCAUGGGAUAUCCAGCAAGAGAGAGAUAUAUAAGGUCUCUUAUGAAGGAGGAGGAUUAUCUUCCUUCCUAAUCUCUCUUUCCUUCCCUCAUUUCCUAUUUAAACGGUUAUAAUUAAACCACGUCAUCAUCUUGUAUUGAUUUUUUAGAGAGAGAAAGAAAGACAAAAAAAAAACGGUGAGAGGAAGAGUGGGAAGAAGAUGAGAGAAUCCUACUCUCUUAAUUUGAAUCAGUCUUGCCCUCACUAUAUUUUCAUAGCCUUAGGAAAAUGUAAUUUCUCUGCUCCAAGUCAGCUGCUUCCACUGUUUUUGUCUUCCACUGUGAUCAGAGAGUAUGAGUUUUGUAAGUUGCAACUUGCAAGUGACUUUGUUCCUUUCGUUUUUAUAUAUACAUAUAUAUAUUUGCCCUACAUCAUCAAUACAUUAACAUCAUAAAACUACAAUAUGCCUAGUCAUUUUCUUAUCAAAUAAAUAAUUUCAUAAAACAAACUCCAACGUUACAUUAAAGUCAUCUGCAAGACCAAAACACACACUAAGAGUUCAACAACACAAAACUAUUGGGAAAGACAACCACAUCAACUAAACAACACGCGCGCAUAACCACAACUAAUUUUAAUCACUAACCAAGCCCAAGAAACCCAAAACCCUAAAACAACCCAUAAAUAUCUAAAGCAAAUUUCCGCCAACAAACCAAGGAAAAUUAGUUGAGCCGGGUGCAAUGGUGUAAAAAAGUCUGCCCAACAACCCUAGUCAUUGGUCAUCCAGAAAUUAAACCUAAACCUUACCUUAUCUUAAACUGUCGUUAUGUUUUUUCACAUUACCAAACGUCAAUGAGAAGAGAGGGUCUUCUAUACGUACGGCACCUGGAAUCCUUGUAAGAGAGGGUGAGAUAAAAAAUGGGCCAAAAUUAGCAUGAAAAAUCAGGAAGGGUGGAGUAAGCGAGUGUUGUUUGUGUAUGGAGUGAUACAUAUAUACACGUGGUCUGGUUACUGAACCUUAGAAUUUCUCUAAUGAGAAAGCCAUUUGAAUCACCAAUAAAGGUUCUUUAGAAUGAAAAGGCUAACAAGAGUAGCAUAUUCCACCUUAUAUAAAUUGCACCAUUCAAGUUAUUGCUUAAGACUUUUGACUUCAAUUUCUCAUAAUGAUGUAGUAAUAGUCUCAUGCAUAUAGGAACCAUCAAAUAUAUUUAAUUGAGUUUUAGAGCAACACAAAUAAUUAAGUAGUCAUUUAAGAACAUUUUAAAUAUUUUUGGGGUAGAUCAAAAGUCCAAUUCGGAUUAGUGUUUCAUUGUGUUGUAUUCCUUACAAAUAUAUGUACUAAACCCUUGAGAAAGGAGACUUGAAUGAAUUAAAAUAUAAUUUGCUUAGUGCAAUCGAAGUGAGUUGUUUCUUCUUCUAAAAUCAAGUUUGAGACUUGGUUAUGUCGAGUGAAUCCACAAUUAGCAACGUGAGUGAUUUUCGUUGCCCCUGAUUGAGUGAUUCACAAGUAUCUAUCUCUCGUUCUUUCUAUUUUCCUCGGUCCCAAUUUAAGUACUUUUGUCUAUACAAAUAGAUCACUUUCGCUACAUCUUGAGAAACUUAUCUCACACUGUUUUAAUUAGGGAAAAUAUAUAGGAUCAAAGGCCAAUGGAAGAUGGUGAGUGCACUCCUUCGGCAAACCUAACCCACAUAACAUAUGCCUUGAAAUAAAAUAUAAAAUAAUUAAUUGAUACCAAAAUCACAAUAACCCGUAGUAAUUCUUUUAUCAAAAUAAAUAAAGAUAAACGUCAACAUGACAUCAAAGUUAUUUACAAGAUGAAUACACACCAACCAAAAGGACAACAUCACACUCACAACAGGCAACAACCUCAUCGACCACUGAUUAAAUAUCACACAUAACCGAAAGAAGCUUAAUCAGUAACCAAGCUCAAAGAACCCAAAACCCUAAAACAACUGAUAAGGCUAAAGCAAAACAACUAUGGCCACCAUUUGAAAAGAGUGCCGGCAUCAAACUCGAUGCAUCUAACUGAAAAUAUUUUGUGUAACAACGGGAAUCAUUCAGUCCAAUAACCCUAGUUAGAUUUAGAUAUGGUGAUCGUUUCGUGUUUAUCAUAUUUGUGUUGUUUUCGUGACAUACUUGAUGUUUAAACGGAAUGUGUCUUGUCAAAUCCAUUAAAAUGAACUGGUAAUAUGACCCGACUCAAACUCAACUUGUUAAAAUUAACAAGUAUUAUGACCCGACCAGUUACGUAUUAAAAAAUAUAUAUUUUGCUUCAAUAAAUAACCAAAUGAAAAACGUUAUACUAAAUUAGUAUUUACAUACCAUGUUGUUACUAAAUUAUAUCUACAUACCCUAAAUCUUAAAAUCCUAAACCCUAAACUCUAAAAUUCAAACAAUGAUGUAACCAUCAUCAAAGCAUAAAGAAUGUGAUCACGAAUGUUGACAAAAAAAAAUUUCACAUUUUUCGCACUUGUAAAUUAAUUUUUAUGAAUGUUUUGAUGUGCUUUGGUAUUUUGUAGGAAAAGUCAAUUUACUUUAAAAAAUUCUUCAUGAGCGGUCAAAGUUGACCACCCAUGAUUGUUGAUCAUCGUUGACCGACGUUGACUGUUGACCACUCAUGGUCAAUGAUUAACGGAAUGAUCCAAUAAUAGCCUGAUUAUUUAAUGUGUUGACCAUAAAUCCGAUACUUUCGGGUCGAAUUAAUGGGUUGUGCAACAAAUUCUUAGGUCUAGUCAAAUUAUAGUCAUCCGCAAUUCCCUAAUUAAGCAUAUUCCAAAAGGAAAAAAAAAACUAAUAUAUGAAUAUCUACCAUAUUAAGGUAUAUUCCACCUUAAUUAUAAAAUUGCUCUAUUCCAGGUUACGAUUUAGACUCAAAUUUGCUCUUAAACACUUUCGACCAAACAAAGAGUAAUACUAGAGAUACUCAAUUUGGAAAUUAAAUUUUAGAAACUAAAGGAUAUAGAAGUUGAUGAUUGAUUUAUUACUUAAAUAUUGAUAGACGUGCUCAUUUCUAAUUUCUAUUAGAUACAUUAUUUAGUUUACAAUUUUAGUCUUCAAAUUUAAUCUUCUUAACAUUACUUAUAAAUAUAUAGAUCACUCUGGCUACUUCAGUAGAAAUUUCAUCCAAAACUAAUUUAAUAUAUUUCCACUCUGUUAAAAUAAGAUGAAACCCCAAUGGACGAUGGUGAGCACACUCCUAGGACAAACCUAACCCACAUAUAUCAUAUGCCAUGGAAAUAAAGAAAAAAAACUUGCAUAAACGAGGAUCGUUCGUUUCAUGCAUGUUGGAUAAUACAUGAUUACAAACAGUUGUUUCCUACGCGUAGCUGACUGUAUAUCGGCGUGGAGUCAUCAUCCCUGUCCUAUUGCUGUUACUGUUCGCUGGAGGAGAUCGGGAUUCGGGAGGUAUCCAAUUAUUGACCGUACUACUACAACUACUACGGCGAUUUUUGACUUGACAUGCUGCAUAUGUUAAACAACUUUGGGGACCAGUUGCAAAUUCAGCGGUUGGAAAAAUCUAUCACACAUAUUUUUGACGUGGAAACUAGUCACUUGAUGUAUGAUGCUUGCCAGAAAACAUAUAGGCUGGCAACCACAGAGAGAGAGAGAGUGACCAUCUAAUUUAACAUAGCAAACUUUGAGAGUCCAUCUUUUUUUUUAUAUAUAAUUAAAUUCUAUUUUUGUCGGUAAUUUAUGUGAAAUAAUUAACAUUAGAUAAUUAGGAUUAGGAUGUAAUUUUUUUUGCCGGUAAUCAGACAUUUACAAACCCAAGAACAAGAAGAUAAAUCUAAGCAAUAGUCGAUUUAGGACAGUACUUGCAGUGUACCCAUCCUCCUCAUUCACUUAGGGAUUUUCGAGUAUCAACCAGAACAUAGUAUGUGGUGGGAUUCUUAGUUGUUGAAUCCUUAGCUGGUAGAUGCUUGGAUGCACAUUUAUUUGUUUAUUUACACUGUCUACGAUAUGCGGGGGUUUAUUAUAAAAUUUUCGCACCCAAUGCAUCCACCUCAUAGGUAAAUCUAUUUGACCUCCUAAAAAUUUUGUUUCUUAAUCAUCGUCUAAACUUCAUUUGAAUUUAAAAUCUUAAAUUGCUAACCAAGAUAAAUUGUUUUUUUUUUAACGUUUUAUGUAACUGUGUCUAAAUCAAAACGCCCCUUUUAAUUUCCUUAUGCGGCAAGUAAUCCGAAGUUGUCGUAAUUUUUGAAGGUUUCCUAUUCAUAUAUAAAGAUUAUUUGGGUAAGUAUUUGAUAAUCAACUAUUGAAUAAGGAUUUGCUUUUGGGUCAAAAUGUGAAUGAGAUUUUAUCCGAUAUGAUCCCUUGUACCAACGCAGGUAAUUACAUCAAAUGUAUUUCUUUUUGAGUUGCAAAGAACCUUAAUCCUAAUUUAUCCUUUAAACCUACCCAACUACAAAUGGAAAUUAAAUAAUUAAGAUGUGGGACCACAAGGGACGGUUGCUACGUGUAUCUGACUCUGCAUGUCGUGGAAUCGAUUCAGCAAAUGCAUAAUAUCCGUUCAUUCCGGCCCACGCCUACUCUUUUCGUAAUUGUGACUUCGAUUCGGCUGCUUCCAACAAGCUCGUAAAUAUCAAUCCCCAAAUAUUAUUCUGUUUCUUUACCAAAAAAAAAAAAUAUAUAUAUAUAUAUAUAUUUAUUUAUGCUGUUUAGAAAAAGAAAAAUGCUAAUAAGACUUCUUCAAAAGAGUUUUUUUAUAGACUUUCCGUCAUUUCAUAUUUUUAUUAAUUAAUGAAAUUUUUUUUGUCAAUAAAAAAAUGAUGAAAAAACAAAUUAAUCUUCUAUCACACACAAAAAAAAUGAUAGACAAUAAUGUAACUUCAUAGGUCCAAAUUUUGCUUUUUUUAUUGAAGCCUCACAAGUGAUGUUAAAAUACCUCCAAUAUUAAAAAAAAAAAAAAAAACCCCCCCCCCCCCCCCCCCCCAACGUUCUCUCUCUCUCCCUCUCUCCUUCUAAUUUUCUAAAAAAAUUUGUAGACAAAUACUAGUAUUUUAUAAGUAGACUUUUUUAAAAGCAGAUUGUUUAAGUUUGAUUUUUACCAAAUGCAAAUUUGAACUAUAUUAUUACUAAUUCAUUAUGAGGUUGAGCCUAUCCCCUCUCCUUAGGAUAGAUAAUACCAUUUCUUAAAAAAUUAUAUAUAUAGUCUCUUUAACAUCACUGUAAAUAAAAAUUCUGCAAUUAUACCAAUCACAAAAGGACUUUUUUUUUUAUAUUUUAGAUGACUUAUUUCUUCCGUAUCAAAAUAUAAUUUACAAAAAUACUUUAACUUCUCGGAUCAUUGUUAAAUGGUAAUAUGGAUACUUCUCCUUUUCCGUAAAGUAAUUGGAUAAUACAGUUUGGUUUUGGAUAGCUGUAUAAGGGCAACUUGACCAAAUCACACUCCUCCAAACUCAUAUAAAUACCAUCCCGCAUCCACUCUAUUUCCAUCAACAAAUCAAACAAGUCCGUGUAUUCCGUGUAUUCCGUGUCUUCUGUGUCCAUUUUAUUUGGAGAAGAAAGAAGUUUGUGUCUUCUAAACACAGAUAAACGCCCUAGAAAAAACCAGAGAAGAGUAAAAAAUGGGCAAGGGAGGCCAAUCCUGCAAUGGCAUGGUUAGAGAUGUCAAACCUGUGGAGAAGGAAAACAUGGCUGCUUGGCUCGUUGAUGUUAACACCAUCAAGAUCCUACCUUUCAAGCUCCCCACUAUUGGUAAUAAUCUCUCUCCUUUUUAAUUUCGUUGUUGUUCUGUUCGGUUUUUAGUUUCAGUUUGCAGUUCUAUAUUUUUUUUUGUUUUCUUGGAUGUAUAGCUAACUUGUUUUUCCCCUAUUUUGUUGGGAUUUCUUUAUUUUAGGACCGAAUGAUGUUCAAAUUCGAAUUAAGGCUGUCGGCAUUUGCGGAAGUGAUGUUCACUACCUCAAGACCAUGAAAUGUGCGGAUUUUGAGGUUAAAGAGCCGAUGGUGAUCGGACAUGAGUGUGCUGGGAUCGUAGACAAAGUUGGGAGCGAGGUGAAGCAUCUGGUGCCCGGUGACCGAGUGGCGGUUGAGCCCGGCAUCAGCUGCGCACAUUGCCAGCAGUGCAAAGGAGGCCGCUACAAUCUCUGUCCCGACAUGAAGUUUUUCGCCACCCCACCGGUUCACGGUGCCUUGGCUAAUCAGAUUGUGCACCCUGCAGAUCUGUGCUUUAAGUUGCCGGAAAAUGUGAGCUUGGAGGAAGGGGCAAUGUGUGAACCCUUGAGUGUUGGGGUUCACGCUUGUCGGCGAGCCAAUGUUGGUCCUGAAACAACUGUUCUGAUCAUCGGCGCAGGGCCUAUUGGUCUGGUCUCAGUUUUGGCCGCUCGUGCUUUCGGGGCACCAAGAAUUGUUAUAGUGGAUAUGGAUGACAAGCGUCUAGCGAUGGCAAAGUCUCUCGGGGCUGAUGACACCGUCAAAGUUUCAACAAAAAUGGACGAUUUAGAUGAUGAAGUUGCCGAAAUUAAAAAAGCCAUGAUCUCCGAAGUGGAUGUGACCUUCGAUUGUGUGGGUUUCAACAAAACCAUGGCGACCGGCCUCAAUGCUACUCGUCCUGGCGGAAAAGUCUGCCUUGUCGGAAUGGGACACGGCCUGAUGACAGUGCCUCUCACCCCUGCUGCUGCUAGGGAGGUCGACGUUGUUGGAGUUUUCAGAUACAAGAACACAUGGCCGCUUUGCCUCGAGUUUUUGAGGAGUGGGAAGAUCGACGUGAAACCGCUUAUCACGCACCGUUUUGGAUUCACGGAGAAGGAGGUGGAAGAAGCGUUUGCAACCAGUGCUCGUGGGGGUAAUGCCAUCAAAGUAAUGUUCAAAUUGUAAAGACAGUGACAAGUUUUGUUUAUCAAAUUCUUAGUAGAAUGUAGAGGGUGGGUGAGGGUGGGUGGCGGUGGGGCUCGCGAUGGGGGUGGGGGUGGGGAGAUAUUAUUUACGUCAUCACAAUAAGCACGUUCCAUUCCAUUGUAUGGUUUUUUAAGUAAUGACAGUAUUACUUUUCGUGGGCUUCUCGUUCUGUUUGUUUUGUAUAUUAGUCCUGCAACUGCAAAGCUUAACAAAAGGACUCCUUACCUGUUUACUAACUUAACCUUUGAAAUAGAGUGCUUUAGAUCCAUUCCAACGUUCUAUUUUUUCAUCCAUGGUGAUAUCCGACUGACCAUAAACAGUGGAAAAAAAUUAAGGGGUGUGCUAUCUAUACAUCUCAUUUUACUUCUCACACUCCUUGAACAUUUAUGUUUGUUUAUUUUCUUCAAUUCAUCUGAUCCAAUGAUCGAAAAUUAAAAAUAUGUGUGAGAAGGAAGAUGGGGUGUGUGUGGAUAUCACACCCCUAAAAUUAAAAUGUUAUUUUGCCACCCAUUAUUAACAAAAGCGAGAUAAGCCAUAUGGUUGUUCCCCAAUAAUUGUGGGUAUUGAACAAAAAUGCCACGGUUGGUAAGCCGAUGCCUCAAUAUUCGUGGCUAUAGCUUAAUUUUUUAAUAGUUUUUUAGAAUAGUAAGAAAAGAAAAAUACCCUUGUUCUUAAGAGCAUUUUCAAAUGAGAUGUCAAAAAGUCCAUGUAACAUCCCACAUCAACCAACGGAGAGGGGGUGAUGUGCCUUAUAUGUACAUGCCCACCUCCAUAUAGCACGAGGCCUUUUGGGAGCUCACUAGUUUCGAGUUCUAUCGGACCUCCGAAGUUAAGCGAGUUUGCGCGAGAGCAUUCCUAGGAUAAGUGGCCCAUUGGGAAGUUCUCAUGUGAGUUCCCAAAAAAUAAAACCAUAAGGGCGUGGCUGAGGCCUAAAGCGGACAAUAUCGUGCUACGGUGGAGCCGGUCUGGGAUGUGAUAGAAUGGUAUCAGAGCCACUUUGCCGUUCGGUGCGAGUGUGCGGACGAGGAUAUCGGGCCCCUAAGGGAGAUGGAUUGUAACAUCCCACAUCGACUAACGGAGAGGGGGUGAUAUGCCUUAUAUGUACAUGCCCACCUUUAUAUAGCAUGAGACCUUUUGGGAACUCACUGGCUUCGGAUUCCAUCGAAACUCCGAAGUUAAGCGAGUUCGUCACUAUGAGCGCAUAGGCGGAAGCCGUUUGCAAGUCCGGAUUAUAACGGUAUAGUUAUAGAAGUUUGAAAUUGGUUAUUUACAUUUUAGAUUAUAAAUAAAUUGAACUCCCAUCUUGUGGAAAAGAAGCCAAUCAGAUUUAAGCAAGAAAAUAAGGGACCAAAUCAAUUAAAGUAAGGGAGGACCAAUCAAAAAAUUUGAAAAAGAGGGAGUUAGCCAAUGAGGAGAUGAGAGAGAGAAGCUCUCAACUUCCCUUCCCGUAGCCCUUCACACGCAGAAACCUGAUUUUGACCCGAAGUGGUUUCCGGCGGUCUUCCACCAUUUUUCAGGCGAUUCAUUCACAUCCAACACCUGCAACUUCUUCCAUCACUUCCCAUCUACCAUUUCCGCCCAAAAUUGAAGGGUUUUAGGUCCAUUUUUGUGUAGAACUUCACCAGAGAACCCGGAGGUCCUCGAUGGCGAUUCGUCGAUCCGGCGAGCUGCACCACCCUUAAUCAAUUUCCCUUGGACCCAAGAACAAGACCCAACCAGUGAUAGGGGCAUUGGAACACCGAGGAAUGAGAAUCGAAGAACACCCACCUUAGGUUUCCGGUGGGUGCGAGCUAAAUUGGAGUUUUUCCAAGCCAAAUUGGACUUGGCCACAGGUAUAAAACUUUCUCUACUCAUUGAGAUCUUCAUUUCUAUGAAAUUUGAGAAUUUUUAGAAACAGUUGAUUUUUCCGGCGAGUAGGGACGGCCGACCAUUAUGUACGGCAGUGAAUGGGCCGAGGUAUCCCCUAACCUUCCUAGGCUAAAUUUGAUACCCCAAUUCCAUAUGUGAAGUCCGAUUGAUGGAAUUUCAUCGUUUGAACAUAGUUAUGAUACAAAUCGUUACUUGAUCCUUAUAUGAAUUGACGAUCCGACCGUUGGAUCGUCACCAAACUUUAAUACAUUAUAAUACAUAAUAUUUGAGGACAAUAGAAACUAACGGAUUGGGAAUCCGACAAACGGAUCUUCCCGAACUGGAUUUGUAAGCUCGUAAAAUGAAACGUCGGUCGCCACUUAAUUCUAGCAAUUGGCGGAAAUCCGACCGUUGGAUCGUAAUGAAAUUUAGUAUGAUGUUCUAGAAGCAUAAUGUGUAUCUUGAGGAUGUAUUUUAUGUAAAUUACAUGUUCUAGUGAUAAGCAUUCUAAGACGUUAUUUGAUAAUUGUUCUAAGCGAUGAUGAUUCGUGAUGCCUCGAUAUUUGUGCUAGGGAAUUGUAGCACGGACUUCAGUUGAGUGAGUCUUUUCCUUUUUAUAGUAUAUAUAUGAUUGAUAGUUCAACAAAUGCUUUUAAAUUGAUUUAGGCAUUUUAUGCCAUGUCAUAUAUAUAUAUAUAUAUUUUAAAUACUAUCAUAUGGUUGAGUUUUAAAUUGCAUCAUGGCAUAUCCAUAUGCAUAUUACCUGCAUAUAAUUGUUGUGAAUGCUUGGAAGUGUUAAGGUGAACGCGGGACGCUCAAGUAAGUUCAGGUGAGUUUAUGGUGUUAUUUGAAAUGAUUGAGUUAUGGCAUGACUAUAUUUAUGCUUUAUGCAACUCCAACACUGUCGUACAGGUUGCAAUAAUAGGCAACUCCGACCUUGUCGUACAUGUUGCAAUAAUAGGCAACUUCAACAUUGUCGUACAUGUUGCCUAUUGAGUAGUACAAGUUGCCUUAGGCAACUCCGACUCGUGUGUUAUCAUAGAUUGAUUUAUGAGUCGUAUAGGUUGCCUUAGGCAAUUCUGACUCAUGUGUCAGCAUAGAUUGAUGAGCACCUGAUUUUAUUAUACCGCUGCUGAUAUGUAGUGAUUUGGAAUAUUUCUGGAUUUACUGUUGAGUUGCAUUUGAUUUCAUACUUAUAUGUAGUAUGAUUUUUUGGAAACUAUACAGGUUUUACAAUAAUGGGUUAUAACAUUUUCAAAAGGUUUUUAUUAGAACUUUAUUUUCAGGCCCACUCACCUUUGUUUUUUCCCCAUCCAGGUUUUAAUAGCUGAGCUUUCUUAUUGACGAGAAUUCGUGGCAAAUCUUGGUAUUAGAGAUUACCUUUUAUGGUACGAUUCUCAAUCUACUCUACUGUACUUUACUUAUACUCUGACUUCACGUGUGAAAUGCGUUCAUUCAUGCUCAUAGCGCACUCUUCUAUUUAGGCACUUUUAGGUUUAAAUUCAUUCACAUUUUCCACAUCACUACACUUUAUGGCUUCGCCACCUUCCAGGUGUCGGCCAACACAACUUGAUUCGGAGUCCUAGUGGACAAUCCAGGUCGGGAUGUGUCCAUGCCCUCACGGUUUUAUUUUUGGGAACUCACACAAGAACUUCCCAGUGGGUCACCCAUCAUGGGAUUGCUCUCGCGCGAACUCGCUUAACAUCGGAGUUCCGAUGGAACCCGAAGCCAGUGAACACCCAAAAGGUCUUGUGUUAUAGGAGGUGGGCAUGUACAUAUAAGGCUUAGAGGAUCCACUCCCCUGGGUAGUGUGGGAUGUAAUAAUAUUAUAACAUCCCAUAUCGACCAAUAGAGAGGGGGUGAUGUGCGUUAUACGUACAUGCCCACCUCCAUAUAGCACGAGGCUUUUUGGGAGUUCACUGGCUUCGGGUUCCAUCGGAACUUUUUAGUUAAGCGAGUUCGCGCGAGAGCAAUCCUAUGAUGGAUGACCCACUGGGAAGUUCUCGUGUGAAUUCCCAGAAACAAAAUCGUGAGGGCAUGGUCAGGACCCAAAUAAGACAAUAUCGUGCUACGGCAGAGUCGAGCUCGGGAUGUUGUGGGGGGCCCGGGCCGGGAUGUGACAGUCUACAUCAACAAUAACAGUAAUAAAAGACAUCACUAGUGUUUUCCAACCAAAAUACAAAUUCCUAUGUGACAUGACAUAAAAAUGCAGCAGAUAAAGUUGCUGUCAAAUUUGACAACAUCUUCAAAUCUAUUUUUAGUAAUUAAUAAAUACCUUUUAUAAUUUUUUAAUAGUUAUCUUUUGUUUUAAAAUACUAAUUACAACUAUAAAAAGUAAAUAAUGUAAUAAAUAAUAGUUUAAAUUUGACAUAUCGGUUGGAGAACAGAAUUGAUACAAAGAUCGAUGGGCCACAUAAGCCUUCAAAUUUAAAUUUGUGUUUAAAUUUUGACAUCUCCUUUAGAUGGUCUAAAGCAUUCUUACCUAACAGGCUACCUCCUUUGCUCUACCGAAUACUCUUGAGCAGUUUUUCUACCCUGCGCAUUACCCACAUGCAAAUGCAUUGCUCAUCAACUUCUAAAACCUGAUCACGAUCACUUGUUUUCAUUUUAAAAAAAAAAAUGAAAGGCCAAGAUUUGAUUAAGUGAGCUGAUGCUCAAUUUCUGCGCCCAUGUAGGUGAUGCGCAUGAGAAAAAUUGUACUCUUUAGAGCAAAUUUUUGUUAGGCUUUUUGGGAUGCAAAGGAAGAGGUCUAAGACUCUAAGUUACAGUUCAUGUUCGACAAAAAAAUUGUACUAUGGAUGGAAUUAUGCAACAAUAAGAAUAUAUAUAUUUUUUUUUGUCAAAUAACAAUAAGAAUAUAAGAUAGUGUUAGGAAUGUGCAACCGGACAAAAUAAAAUAUCUUAAAGCAAAAAGGGUUGACAUGGACUCAAAAUAUAAGUGCAAAAGAGCUAUUUUAUCAGUGGAGGGCAUUUUCAAUAUGUGACAUGGCACAACUAGAACAAAAAUAAAACCGCGUCGAGAGAAGAAUGAUGGCGGGAUUUAGACCGGAAUUACUCGUAAAUCGGCAUAGACCUCCUAAAGUGAAGAUUUAGGACAAUUUUGAACAAAGUUUUUGGGAGGACUAAAGUAUAGUCUAAUUUUGUUGUAAACAUAAUCAAACUCAAGCGUAAGCUGGUGGAUCAGUUUAAUUGUAACCACGAACAUAGUGAAAUUCUUCAUAACCUUUCCAAGCCUAAAAUGAGUGGAUAACCGUAGUUUUCCAUCAGUUGUUUUCUUUUUUAACAAAAUAAAAAAUGCAAGAUAGAGUAAGCUUAUUGACUUGUUCAAGUGACUUUACUCACAUCUACUAUAAACCCUUCAUUCAACACAUAUGACCAGUUGUUGUUGAGGCGGGUUUGAGUGUGUAUUGCCGUGGCAUUUGUUAUCCAACUGUUAUUAUAACUAGGGUUCGAAUUGUUGACCGUCUAGCGGCCCUCUGACAUUCAUACUCCACUUCGAAGAAACUUCAUCACUGAUCUUUGAUGCGCCGAGUUGGCAACAGAAACCCCAAAGGACGGUUAAUCUGACGGUUAUUAUUUAAUGAGUUUUCUUUGGUCCUUGGGAUGUUCACAUUGCAACAUUUAUGAGUAAUUUAGUCGUUUGACAAUUUAGUUUGCCGACCAAAAGAAUUGAUAAAUAGAUCAUACAUUUUUAUUUGAUAAACUUCAUGUUUAUACCAUUCGCUAAAAUAAAUAAGACUAACUUGCAUCUUUAAAUGGUGGCCAGGAAAAAGCUAAAAUGUCUCUGUGAGUCUUCACAGCCUCAAGAAUAAUGGUUUGCCGUGGCAAAGCCACCAAUUGGUCCAUUUUGAUAUAAAAUAAUAUAUUUUUAAAUAGUAAAUUAUGUUGAUUGAUUUUAACCAAUGCGUCUUAAAUUCAAACACUACCAUCUUCUCAAAGUCUAAAUGAAUUUAGUCGCCAAAAUAAAUAAAAGAUUUAUUUGAUGGAUCCCACAUAUCAAAUGAGUUUUUUUUUUCCAACAUCAAAUGAGGGAAUUUCUCCAAUUAUGUUUGCUUCUUGCAACCCUAAUCUUAGUUUAUGAUCAAAAUUGCCAAGCUAUCUACCAAAAAAUUGAUUCGACGUGGGACCCACGAGAUGGGUAAAGAGUAUGUUUGCUACAUCAAUCUGACUCUGCAUGUCGUGGAAUCCAUUCAACAGUCCCUAAUAUCCGUUGAUUAUUUGUUUAGGUGCGCCCCUACACAGAUGGUUAAGUUUCAACUUUGUCUCUCAAAUAUUACAAGUUUGAGACCUAAUUAUGAUCAAUAGUUGUGUGACAAUUUAUAUUUAUAUUUUUUAGUAUUAUCAUAUAAAAAAAUAUAAUGCAAGAGAGACUUUGUUUUAUAGAUCACAUUUAAAUGAGUAAUGCAAGAUAAAUUAAAUUUGUAGAUUAAAUGAUAUGUUGCUAAUAAAAAAAAUGAAACAUUCAUAAAAAUGGUUUGGCCUAAGUUUAUCUUAACAAAAAAAACCAUGUUAUACCUUUAUUUAAUGAAAAGACUUAAAUUUUAAUGAAAAACCCUUAAACUUUAAUAAAAAAUAAAAAUAAAAAAACUAAGAUUUUAAUGAAAAAAGACAUAAUUCUAAUAUUAAAAAAUAUUUUUAAAAAAAAAACUGACGCACGAGACCUGCUCAUCUCACACAUACUGUUUAUGAAACUUACUAUAUUGUUUAUAAAACUUAACGGUACUACAUUGUUUCUGAAACUUACUAUAUUGUUUAUGAAAUUUACUACACUGUUUAUGAUAUUUAACGGUACUAUACUGUUUAUGAAACUUACUACACUAUUUGUGGAAUUUAACGGUAUGAUACUGUUUAUGAAACUUAACGCGCACUAGGCACACAUGAUUUUAUUUUAUGUUUUUUUUUCUUUUUGUCCUUAUCAUUAAAUAAAGUUAUUAGAUGGUUUUUGGUUAAAAUGCAAAGUAUUGAAGUCAUUUUCAUUCAUUUUCCUAAAAAAAUAAGCAUGUUAAUCAACAUUUAAGUAAUAAUCAAAUUAUCAAACUUCCAAGUCAUUUAGUUUACACAAUUUAAUCUACAAAUUUAGUCUCCUAACAUUACCCAUUUAAAUUAUCUUUUUAAUAAGGGAACUUUAACGAAAAGUACCCGGUACUGUUCACUUUAACGAAAAACCACAUUUUUACACUAAAAAGUCAAUCAUGAUACUAUUCACUUUACCCUUUAUUUUGUCCUUAUCAUUAAAACUCAAAGUUUUCAAGCCCUUUUCAUUAAUUUUCCUUUUUAAUAAUCGUAAGGUUCAUAAUAGAAAUAAGUUUCUACCUCCAACAAAGAGAUGGAGCAUUUUCCAAACAAACUCGUAAAAUCUAACUUUAAAAUUUUAUUUGUGGUUUCAAAAUUACAAAUUGGUUGGGCUUCUGAGAUUGAGAACCGCAUCUCAGCCAAUUACGUGUGAUAUUCCAGAUGUAGACCAAAGUUUCGUUCCAAAGGAGAUACCACUCCCAAUUUCAAUAAGACGCACUUAAAUCUAAAAGUGUGAUUGUAACCAAUGAGGGUCAUAUUUCAUAAAAAAAUUACCUAUCCAUUCUACAAACGAUGUUGUUAGGGGGUUAAAUUAUUAAAUGUUAGGGAGGGAAAUCAGGGGGAAACGAAACCGCACUAAAGUGCAUAGGCAUUAUUCAUUUCCAUCGCUGCAAUAAAGCAUCAUAUGCGAUUAUCAUAUUAUUAUGUGUGUUAUUAAUUUAUGUAUUAUAAAUAUUAGUAGAUUAUAUUGCUAAUAUGAGUCUACAGCAGGGAUUAACUAGUAUACACACAUGUUAUAACAAUAAUUUAUAUAUAACAACGUGACAAUGAAACUGGACAAUUCAAAAUAUGUAUAAAUAAAUCAAGUUGCCUAGUUUUAUACAGCUGUGACAACCACAACCAGGUGAUCUUGUAUCUUCACGGGCAUCCUAGACUAAUAUAAAUACCACCCAGUAGCAACGCUAUUUCCAUCAAGAAAUCAAAGUAGUCUGUGUAUUCCGUGUAUUCUGUGGCUUCUGUGUCUAUUUUAUUUGGAGAAGAAGUAGUCUGUGUCUUUAAAACACACAAAACACUUCAGAAAAACAGAUAGUAGUAAAAAAUGGGUAAGGGAGGCCAAUCCUGCAAUGGCGUGGUUAGAGAAGCCAAACCUGUUAAGCAGGAAAACAUGGCUGCUUGGCUUGUUGAUGUUAACACCAUUAAGAUCAUGCCUUUCAAGCUCCCCACUAUCGGUAUUAAUCUGUCUUCUUUUUUUGAAUUUAGUCGUUGUUCCUUUCAAAUUUCAGUUUUUAAGUUUCCGUGCUCUCUGUUGUAUUAGCUAACAUGUUGCUCCCUAUUUUGUUGGGAUUUCUUUAUUUUAGGACCGAACGACGUUCGAAUUCGGAUAAAGGCCGUUGGCAUUUGCGGAAGUGACGUCCACUACCUCAAGACAAUGAAAUGUGCGGAUUUUGAGGUUAAAGAGCCAAUGGUGAUCGGACACGAGUGUGCUGGGAUCGUAGACAAAGUUGGGAGCGAGGUGAAGCAUCUGGUGCCUGGUGAUCGCGUGGCGGUUGAGCCCGGCAUCAGCUGUGCACGGUGCCAGCAGUGCAAAGGAGGCCGCUACAAUCUAUGCCCCGACAUGAAGUUUUUCGCCACCCCACCUGUUCAUGGUUCAUUGGCGAAUCAGAUUGUGCACCCCGCGGAUUUGUGCUUUAAAUUGCCGGAAAAUGUGAGCUUGGAGGAAGGGGCAAUGUGUGAGCCCUUGAGUGUUGGGGUUCAUGCUUGUCGGCGAGCCAAUGUUGGCCCCGAAACAACUGUUCUGAUCAUCGGAGCAGGGCCUAUUGGUCUGGUUUCAGUUUUGGCCGCUCGUGCUUUUGGGGCACCAAGAAUUGUCAUUGUCGAUAUGGAUGACAAGCGUUUAGCCAUGGCAAAGUCUCUCGGCGCUGAUGGCACCGUCAAAGUUUCAACGAAAAUGGAGGAUUUAGAUGGCGAAGUUGCCAAGAUUAAAGAAGCCAUGGAAUCCGAGGUGGAUGUGACCUUUGAUUGUGUGGGUUUCAAUAAAACCAUGUCCACAGGUCUCAACGCCACUCGUCCCGGCGGCAAAGUCUGCCUUGUCGGAAUGGGACACGGCAUGAUGACAGUGCCUCUCACUCCUGCUGCUGCUAGAGAGGUUGAUGUUGUUGGGGUUUUCCGAUACAAGAACACAUGGCCGCUUUGCCUCGAAUUUUUGAGAAGUGGGAAGAUCGAUGUGAAGCCGCUUAUUACACACCGGUAUGGAUUUACAGAGAAGGAGGUGGAAGAAGCCUUUGCAACAAGUGCUCGUGGGGGCAACGCCAUCAAAGUCAUGUUUAAUUUGUAAAGACAGCUACAUGUUUUGGUUAACGAAUUCUUAUUAGAAUGUAGAGAAAGGGAGAGGGGGAUUAUUUGCAUGUCAUAACUCAAUAAGCAAAGUUCCAUGUUUUUUUUAAUCUGUUACGAUGAAGCUUAAUAGAAACCGCUUACUCAUUUACCAAGAGCGAGAAAUUCCAGGGUUAUUGCCCAAGAAGGGUGGCUAUUGAACCAAAAUGCCACGGUUGGUGAGCCGCGGGUCACAACAUUCGUUGCCAUAACCGAACUGUAGGAAAGAGCACGAAAAGAAUGGUCUUUUCGGUACUCUACUUGAAUCAAACUUUUUAAACUGAAAAAUAAUUUUUAAAGUUUUAGGCCUUAAAAACUUAUUUAGUAGGACUAUUUUAAAAAACUGAACUUAAGUUCUCUAAAAACAUAAAAAGUGAGUUUUUAGAGUUUUUAAACUUAAACUCACUCAUUUCUUUUUUCUUCCUCCCCUCUCACUCCAAAUCUAUCUCUAUCUCUUUUCUUCUUCUAUCUCCUCUGUUUUUUUUAUACAUUUUUCGUCUCUCCUCUAAUUCGCUCUCUUCAUUCUCUCGGUUCUUUCUCUCACUGUUUUUCCUCUCUAUCUCGUCUGAUCCUCUCACUUCUUUCUCUUUCCUUCUAUCAUCUCUUACUUUCUUUCCUUCUCUCUCCUCUUACUCCCUCUCUUGCGACUCCCUCUCUUGCGGCCCCCUCUUUUUAGAUCUCUUUGUUUAAUUUAAGUCGUAAGAUUUAAAAAUUUUAAAUCACAAACCAAUCAAGUUUUUAAGUGUUAAAGAAAAUUGUUUUUAAGAAAUGUUCUUAAGAAAUGUUUUGAAAAAUGAUAAAAAAAAAAUUACAAAUAAGAUACCAAACAAACCCGAAUAUUCUUCAAGGUUUUGAUUGAAUAAUAUGAAAGACAACGCCAUAUCACCAGGGAAAAAAUGGUUAUAUAGUUUACCUAAAACCAAGACUUGCUAGGAAUCCUAUGUGAAACUUGCGAGAAAAAUAACAAAACUACAUAAUAUCCUCAAAACUAAAAAUCCAAAUUUGACAUAGCAAACAAAGGAAUUUAACCUAUAAAACCCAUAGAUCACAAAUUAUCAGUGAGUUUGACACGUGACACCGUUUUCGAAGAGAAAACAUAUUACGGGCCUAAAUCCGAGUUGAGAGCCCAAACCUAUGUUGUGUGGACCUUGAUGUUCUAUUUAGGCUUAUCAAGUUGAUCUUCGAUGUUGGAACUAAAUUCGAGCAUAUCUGCGGACGAAGACAGUGUUCAAUCGGAAUGACCCAUGAACUCCGUAGAAGGGUGAAUGGGGUUGAUUAUGGGUGUGAUUGAUUCCAUAUCGGAUUGCCUACAUAUCUCUGGGAUUAUCAAAUCACUAUUAUUGUUGAAGAAAUGAGUAUCUAUGAUGUGUACGACAUCAAAACACAUCAUUGACGAAGGUGCCUUGGCUUAGGUGCGUAAGAGAUGUUUUUCCAUGUCUACGCGUAGACGAAGGUGAGCAAGAGAUGUCUUUCCAUGUCUACGCCUGAGAGAAUAUGUGCGGAAAGAAUGUGUGUUAUAGCUAUUAGAUGAUCAGAGAGAAGUCCCAAAUAAAUACACAGGGUAAGAUAUUUAUGAGAUAUUGAGGGAGCAAUCCCUAUUUAACAGAAGAGACUAUAUAGGAGGAAAUCUAGGAUAAGAUAUUCAGUUAUCCUAAUAUUAUGAUUACAUUGCAUAAUCCACAAGAUAUCCUUAUUUGACUUGAAUUAGGGUUUCCUUACUUUGGAGACAAGUAAUAUAUUUAACGGGCUUAGAGCUAAUGGAGUUGUGAAGGAUUACCUUAUCAUGUGGUAGUCUGAUCCGGAAUACCCCGUGUAGCUAUGAUCUCACUUUGAGGACUUUCGAGUCAUUCUAACCACCCUUGUCUCAUGAGCCUAGAAAAAUCAUGAUCCCACGUUCAAGUUAUUCUGCCAUCUAUUGUAUCCAAUAUCAUGUCGUUCGAAAUCAAUCCUUUUUUUUGUCUCUAUCUGUGCUCUUAGCAUCGGUUUAGCCACACUGCUAUUGCUAUAUGGGAAUCAUGAAUCAUUCUUUAGUGCUAGCACUAAGUAAGCAAUUUUACAUCUCCCUAUGAUCGAGUAAUCAAACUACCUCUCUCUCUUCCUCAACAAGAUCUAGGCUUCGCUUGUCCUGAUCCUUAACUAAUUUCAAAACUAGAAUUGCUUCUUUUAAAUUUUGAAUUUGAGUUUUAAUUUUUUAAUUUCUUUUAAAACUCAAAAUAAUUAACAACCAAACCAAACCAAACGACUUCAGAUAUACAAAAAAAAAUUGAUUAGUAAAAUCUUCUUCGAUUCUCAUGGUAUUCCUCUUCACUUGGAAGUGAGACGUCUUAUAUUCGAAUAUCGUAGAUGACGAAUUCAAUACCAAAUUAGAUUGCUCAUUGUGUGGCUUAGCCAAACUCCUCAUUUCCUUAAUGUAAAAAUAUCGAUGUAUUAAAAAAAAAACUUCUUCGAUUCAAUUUUUACCGUAAGUACAUCGAAUCGGGGAUCGAUUUGAGGAGAAAGACGGAACGCGAGACAGAAGCUGUGGCUGGUGUGGUGGCUUAUGGUGCCGUAUGGUGGGCGGGGGAGCCUCAUUAGCGACAGUUGUUGCGUUGGCGUAUGUUAUUAUGAUUUCUGGGAUACAAUUGUUGACGGCCUCUUUGACUUUCAUGCUGGACUUGAAUUGAUAAACUUCACAAGCUGAUGCUGCACUUCAAAGAAACUUCGUCAUCUUUCAUGCGCCAGAAAAUUAGGGUUGCAAACAGAAGAACCCAGUUGACCGUUUAUUUUGUUUUCUGGUAUAUUAUCCGACGGUUAUUAGUUUAAGAGUUGGUCGGUAGGGUGUUGACAUUGCCAUUGCAAAAUUUUGGGAGAAAUAUUUUAGUAAUUUGACUAUAUUGAUUUUAUUAAUCAGUCUUUUGCCGACAAAAAAUUAGAUAAAUAAAUCAUACAUUUAUUUCAUUGGCUAAAACAAUUAUUAUUUUAUUUUUUUAACCAAAAUGGUUCAUAAGAUUGGCAUAACUUAUGUAUGGUCAUUGAGAUUGAAAAUCGAUAGAAGUGGUAACUAAAUUUGUCCACGGUCUAUUAUUUUGGUCAUUAUGUGAAUUUGAGAGUGUUUUUGUCCAGUCAACACCUCUACUUGUUUUUUCAUUUAGCAGAGAUUUUUUACGGAAUGACAAAAUGAUUGACAGUCUACAAACCAAAGCGCAAUUUCUAUCGAUUUUCAAUCUGAAUUACCAAAGUGAAGAGUUAUGUUAAUCUCAUAGAUUAUUUUGAUUAAAAAAAUUAAUAGUUCUCUAAUUCGAUAUUAUCUACACUACGAGUGGGAGAUUUAGUUAAAUCUCAUAAUGGACUAGUCAUAUUUCGAUAUUCUACACAAACGAGUGAGGAAGUGUACUAAACCUCACAACAAGUUAGUCAUAAUAAUUCAACAAAAUUUAACAUAACACAUUUUUCUUACAAAUGAAAACAAAUACAAAUAAACUGUAGUUCUAAGCAAUGGCUGGUACAAAUAUUUGUGAUAACCUAAUCAACAAAUAAGACUUUCUUUUACCAAAAAAAAAAAAAAAAAAACAAGUAAGACUUUCCUUCCAAAGAAGAAAAAAGGAAUAUUCGAUCUGAUUCCAUAUCAAGAUUCAUGGGGGUAAUUACGCGAAAUAUGUUUCCUGAUGGGGUUACAACGCUAAUCUUAAUUAAGCUCGAAAUUACUCAACUACCUACCCCAACUUGAAUCGACGUGGGACCCAACUGAUGGAUAAAGAGGACGAAUCCACGUCAAUCUGACUCUGCAUGCCGUGGAAUCGAUUCAGCAGUCCCCUCACAUCCGUUGAUUCUAAUGUAGGUGGUCCCUACACCAACACCAUCGCGCAUCUUGCACUCCACUUGAUAUUCGGCUGGUUUAGUAGUUGACAUUGUGUUUAAAUGAUAUUUCUCUUCGUAAUAAUUGUAAAAAAGAAGUUUUAAAUUGAACUUGCAUCGUUGAUGAGGCGAAUUUAAAAAUAGAUUUAUUUUAUAAAUAAAAAAUUUGACUGCUUUCAAGUUCCAAAAAGCUAGGCGAAAAUUUAUCUCGAAUGUUAUUUUGUGGUUGAAAAAAUAUAAACUGGUUAGGCUUCCAAAAUCGAGAAGGGCGUUCAUGGCACACAAUAACGGUUGUUGUUUAAAAUAUCAAUAUAUCGAUGUCAGUUAUCUUUGAUAGAAUUCAUGGUAAUUUAUAAUGCGAUGAGUGUUUAAACUUAUUCUUAUUUAGUCAAAAUUAGAGAAAAUUUUCUUUAAAAGUUCAAAAGUUUUAAAUCUGUAAUGGGUUCCGGUAAAAUUUAUGUACUGAAUCAUAUAUCUCGCUGAUAUAUAGUUAGGCAUUUCACUUUCUCUUUCCAUAUUGAUCCUAAUUUUUCGAAUAAGCUGCAUAUGAAGCCAAUUUAGGAAUGACAUUUGAGAUGCACAAAGUAGUUUCUCUCAAGAGGAGAUACCAAUCCCAAUUCAAACAAGAGACGCAUGUAUCCAAAAGUGUGUUUGUAACUAAUGGGAAUAUUCUUGAGAACAAAUCGCUCCGUCCAAAUCCAAAUUCUUGGGGUGUGACAUUCAUACCAUCACGUUAUACUAUUAAUUUAUGGAUUAUAACAUGCGUAGAUGACAUAAUUAUGAUAAAUAUACACGUAUUAUGAUAAGAAUGAAUUAAUUUCUCCACGUAAUAAUGUGACAAUUACAAUGAAAAUUUCCUAUAAUUAUCCAAAAUACACGUUAAAUGAUAAAUAUAUACACGUGUUAUGAUAAGAAUGAAUUAAUUUCUCAAUGUAACAAUGACAUUCACGAGGAAAGAUUUCAGAAUAAUUCAAGAUGCACGUUAAAUUAGGUUCCCCAGGACACGGCUGUGACAACCACUACUUGGCCAUGUGAGAUAGAUUCUAUAAACUUACAGCAGGUGAUCUUGCAGCUUCACAGGCUUCCUAAACUAAUAUAAAUACCACCCCGUAGCCACUCUAUUUUCAUCAAGAAAUCAAACAAGUCCGUUCAUUCCGUUUAUCCGUGCCUUUUGUAUUAUCUGUGUCUAUUUUGUUAGGAGAAGUAGUAGUUUGUGCCUUAGAAACACACUUUAGAAAAAACAGAGAGUAAAAAAUGGGUAAGGGAGGCCAAUCCUGCAAUGGCGUGGUUAGAGACGCCAAACCUGUUGAGCAGGAAAACAUGGCUGUCUGGCUAGUUGAUGUUAACACCAUCAAGAUCCUACCUUUCAAGCUCCCCGCUAUUGGUAUGUACUUAUCUCCCUACUUUUAUUUUCAUCGCUAGUUUUUUUUUUCGGUUUUUGAUUAUCAGUUUUCAAGUUUCGUUGAAGUAUUGGCUAACAUCUUGCUCUCCUGUUUAUUGGGAUUUCUUAAUUUUAGGACC